ACACAAAAUUUUUGCGCAUUUUGUAUUAAGAUAGAAAAUUUUGAUAUAAACAUGUAUGACUUUAAAUAUGCACUAGUUUCGGACGGAGGGAAUGAAAAUGAAUGAAUAUACGUAUAUAUAGGACUAAACCACUAAUGAUGAUGAUCGAUCGGUGUUAUUAUGCAAAGAAGCAACGUUAUCACGAGCAAAUGAACAUCAUGUACAUAUAAUCCCACGCUGCGCCUCCACGGUCACCAAGAAGACUUGAUAAUAAAAUUACACAUGGAUCAUCUAUCAAACCAUGCAUGCAUGCAUGGCGCCACCAGCAGCUAACUUAUAGUAAUAAUUCAUAUAAGAAGAACACGCAAGUCCUUUAAGCAUGCGACGGAGGAUUAGAUGUCGAAGGAUUCCUUGCCGGUGAACUUGACCUCGAUGGGGCUGACGUUCUUGCCGAUGCUGCGGAAGUUCUGCCCAACGCCCUGCCUGCCGGCGUUGACCUUCUCCGGGUAGACGCCGUCCUUGGGGUGGAGGUACUGCACCUCGCCGUUGGGGAAGACGCGGUAGAACUGGUAGUUGAUCUUGUACUUGGAGCGCAGCCUGGUGCCGAGCGCCAGGCACUGCUCCUUGCGCGCCAGCUUCAGGAGGUUUGGACCCUCCCGCAUGAUGGCGGCGCCGCCCGUGGGCAUCUCGAACACCUGCUCCUUCGGGGACGUCCACGUGAUCACGUAGAACUCCUCCACCUGCGCCUUCCGGAGCAGCCCGCCCGUGCUGCCGCCGAAGAUGGGCGACGGCGUGUUGGGGUCCAGCUGCGGGGGCACGAAACCCUUGGGGGCCUCCUCAGUCACCGCCGCCGCCGCCGGUCCGUCGUCGGACGCGCGGAGCGGGGCCGGACCGCGGGACGACGGCAUCGCGAGCUGCGAGCUCAGCUGCCGUGGCUUCGCCCAGGCGGCCGCCAGCAGGUGGCGCGUGGCGGCGGAGGCUUGCGUGGCCAUGGCCAUGGGCGCGCGGCGGAGAGCUUCUUGGAAGGAAGGAGAUGAGAGAGUAGUGGACUGGAUGGAGAAGGGCGCCGCGCGAGCAUGCAGCUAAGAGGACAAGAGAGGCUGGUGUGGCCGAGACCGCAGGUUGGCGAAGUGGAUAAGGGGAUAUGAGUCCGGCCAAUGGGGAGUGCGGAUUUUGAUACGUGGGGAGGCUGGGCAUCCACACACGUCACAGCGGGGUCGUCGUCUUCCACACGCACCAAGGAGAGCGUGGCACAUCACAAUAUCUCGUCAUCGCAUCAUGGUGCAUCGCCGGUAGUUGUACAGCAUGGAUAUGAUAUAAAGUCUGGCCAAAGCUAAGGUUUCAUUGCCACGGGCCCGUUUCACCAAUAAAGUAGGUUUUUUUAGCUAUAGAGUCGAAGCUAUUUUUUAUGAAUCAUUUGAUAAAAUAGUUUUACACGUAGAGAUUUUAUAAAUAUGCUCUCAUACAAUUUCACAUAGGGCCCACAGCGAGCUGAACUUUGAAGAAGAAGAAGAAGCUAUUUUUAGCUUCAUUCCAUACCAAUUUCUUGUGGCAGCAGGUUUCAAGAAGCUUCACGUGAAUCUAUUUUUUAAAAAAUAAAUGUUUGACAUAAAACAAUUUCAAACAACUCAUAAAACCUACUGAAAAAACCAUGCCAAACAAGACCUAAAUCAGCGGCCCUGUUAAGCACAUGUUUGUUUGGUGAAGCUCAACUCCUUCGUGCAAUUAGGAGACGUUAACAAUAUCUUUUUUCCCCAUUAGAAGCCUCUCCGUACGCUAAAUGUUUGCUUAGCAGAAAGGCUAUAACUUAAAGAUUGUUUACUGAUUUAUUAUGAAAGAAAAACAAUGCUAAAUAACUCAUAAAUUCAGUAGAUAAAUUCAAGCGAACAUGCUCGCUGUAGUAAAAAGCUGGAGCUAAACAAAACCGUGUCACAUAGUGCCUGUUUGGUGAAGUUUUGGUCAGUUCUGACUUGAGUUCUUUUUGCGCACUACAGUAAAGUGAUAUUUUGUCUCUAUUACCAUUAAAAUAAAUUAGAAACUGAUAAUGCAACAGUUUAGGCCUUGUUUAGUUGUAAAAAGUUUUUGGAUUUUGACACUGUAGCACUUUUAUUUGUUUGUGACAAAUAUUGUCUAAUCAUAGACUAAUUAGAAUCAAAAGAUUCGUCUCGCGAUUUACAGGCAAACUGUUUAUUUAGUUUUUAUUUUCGUCUAUAUUUAGUGUUUCAUGCAUGUGCCGCAAGAUUCGAUAUGACAGAGAAUCUUGAAAUCUUUUUAGUUUUUGGAGUGAACUAGACAAGGCCUUAUUUUUUUUUCCUUCACUGGUUCCUCCGUGGACUGGCGUCAUUUUAGCAGCACUGCACCAGUGAUGAACCGGAUCGUCCUGGAUGUACACACAGUGGUCUGCGUCAGUGCACUGCCGGCCCAGAGAAGGUAUAGUUCUACUCAUUUUAUAUGGGCUGAAGUGAUACUUUUGGCCCACAAAAUGUCCAAUGGGCUGUCGCCCGGAUGCCAACUUCGAAGGCCCGAAGAGUCAAGUUUCCCUCUUACCUGGUACAAAAAGAAAAAGAGAAAAAAAGAGAGGCGGAAACACACCGUAAUUCGUGGUAAUUAAUCUGCAUGGUAAGGGAAAGUGCCUCUGAUUACAAAAAAAAUUACGUCUUGAUUGAAGACCAUGAAACAUGUUUCAUAUUUAAAAAUAACCCGGACUAUCAACAAAGGAGCAAUGUUUCGUUUUCUACACGACAAUACGUAAAAGGAACGCAAUAAAAGCCAUUCCACAUUCCCCAGUCCCCCACCUAGGGCGCCAAACCAGAGACGGCGGGCAAGGAAAAAAAGAAAACCCUCCCAAUCAUGAGCCGUCCGCGCCCGAUCCGACGGCCACGGACCCUCCCAGGGCAGAGCGGACCCAUCCAUAACAGGAGGGGAGGCAGAGGAGAGAGCGGCUGCCCCCCCCCCCCCCGCGCCUGGCUGCCUCUUCGUCUCUCCUGCCAAGAACGCGUUGGCGCAGCAGCCCAGGAAGCAACACCCAGCCGCCUAAUCCCGCAACAACUCGUCCUCCUCUACUCCUGAGGCUCUUCUACAUCUUCCUACCAGUUUUCGAGAGGUUUGCUGGAGUGGACCGGCGGUGGAGCAGCAAAUCUGUAAGCACCAUUUCUAACUUCUUUCUCGUCCCCAUUCUUCUGGAUUUGGGAGCUUUUUUCCCCUUCUUCUUCUUCGGUUUGGAUUUUCGAGGCCAUCUCGUCUCGGGGUUGGAUUGAGUGCGUUGGACCUGUGAAUCUGGAUCCUGGUUACUACUUACUAGUCGCGUUGGUGUAGCUGGAACUGGAAGGUUUGGCCCUGAUUUCUCUUGCAUGUAGGAACUCUUUCUCGAUCACCGUAUAGAUACCGCCGCUUUUUCUAAGCUUGCUCGACGUUUGGCACGCAACCUGAACUCGUCUCGCCCGCGGCCGAUCUCCUCCAUCCGCUGGACGCGCCGCAAUCCGGAGAGGAGACUACGCUAGGUCGAGCACCACCUGGGGCUCAGCGUUCUCACGACCAGUUCCGGCGCGGCGUCCGCCCUCUGCAGCCACUCGCCACUCGCCCCCGCAACCGUCGUUGUUGUCGCCACUUUGGCCGGCGACGAGCACCACCAGGACAGCAGCUCGCCUUGGUCCUCCCUUCCUGCUGUGCCAAGCCGUGCGCCCAAACCUUAACGUAAUUCGUAGGUAAAACCGUGCUCCCAAACCCUAGCAUACUAUUCGUAAUCGGAUCUACUGGGUCCGCCCGUGCUCGGUUGUGUUGGAUUUUUUGUUCUUGGGUUACUGAUUUCUCUGUAGGUGUUGACCUCUUGAAGAGAAAGAUUAGAUUUUUUUUGGCCCCAAAACAGAGUGAUUUUUUGUUUGCUAGUUUUACUGCAUGCUCUGUUUCCCCCCUCUAGAUCGACCGAGGAGUAGGAUUCAGUUAAUAUCAAGUUAUAUUUUUGUUUUAAUCUCAUCCUUGAUGGGGUAAGACCGUAAGAGUGCUCUAUGUGUUUGGAUGGAGAGGAAGACCCUCUUCUUGAUUUUUUUGGGGCGCUAACAUAGUUUCCUAAUUAAUUUGGGGGCCAGAUUUUUUAUCUGAUUCGAGUGUCCAAGUUCACUAAAUCCACUGGAACUUUGAUCCAAAGUUGUUCUGUGUACUUCAUUCACUACCUAGUGCCUAACUACCCGUGUACACUUCCAGGAUACAGUAUGGAUCAGGACGCGAAGGACUCGAGGCCCUCAAGGUCUCCCAGCGAGCCAAACCUCUUCCUGCAAUGGGGCAGCCGGAAGAGGCUGCGAUGUGUCAAGACGCGUGAUGAUGCCUCACCAUCACCAUCUCCAUCUGAAGGUCUGAGACGUGCCAUACCCCGUGCUACUCGACCCCUCCUUGGAGCUGACAUUGCUACAUUUCGGUCACCACGGCGCCCUAGCACCCUUAACCGCAGGUAAUUUCACCGUGCGCAGGCUUUGUUUGCAUUGGCCACUAUAACAUGAGCAAGUUCCCUGAGCCCCUGAUACAUUAUGCAAAAUACCUUCUGUCAGCAGGAAAUCAGAUUCACUAGUGAAUGAUUACAAGCACUCGAUUGCGCUAUCACCAGAGAAGGACAGGUAUUACACAACGAGGGGUUCACCAUUUCCCUUCGAUGGAAAUGGGUUCGACUUUGGUAGCAUAACAGAGGAGAAGGGAACCACUGCGUUGCCAAGAUUCUUCAUUGCAUUGUCAAACAAGGAGAAGGAGGAGGACUUCAUGGCAAUGAAGGGCUGCAAGCUGCCACAGCGGCCAAAGAAGAGGCCCAAGUUGAUGCAGAAGUGCUUGCUUGUAAUGCUUACUUCCACUAAUUCAAUUUAUAAGUUUUCGCUUCAUUGUUAUGAUCAUACUCAUUCUUUCGAUCUUGUCUUCUGUUUCAUUUUUGGACAACUAUAGAUGGUGAGCCCAGGAGCUUGGUUAUCAGAUUUGUCGCAUGAGAGAUAUGAAGUUAGAGAGAAGAAGAGUUCUAAAAAGGUACCCUGCAUAUAGAUAAUUUUGUUUUGCUUAAAGAAGUGCAUUUGUACCUGUGCCUCUCUAUUCAACUUCAAAUUUACAUUCUCUUACUGCCUGUUGAUUGUUGCUGAUAUGAGUGAAACAACCUGCAGAGAGCUAGAGGCUUGAAGGCUUUGAGCAUGGAGAGUGAUUCAGAAUAGAGGUCGAGGCAAAUGAAUUUUUUGGACUUGACUUUAGCUGGUGGCAAAAAUCUAUAGUUAGGUGGCACUGCCUACUGCUUGUCAGACAAACCUCAGCAUCUAAUUUGGUGUUAUGAGUGCUCUGAUCAAGAUCAACUGAUGUCAACAGCAAAGAGCAUGUUAGAUUCCUGAUCUAGUGAGGUGCAGCUCCAUCUUUCUGGGUAGUGGGCGCCUUUGUGAGAAACAAUGAAAGUUGGAUACAAUAGAUGGUUUCUCAAAACCACAGGAAGGAAUUUCAACCGUUGUGAAACAUUGAAAGUUGGAUGUUGGCUGAGAACAAAUGAAUUAUGAUGUUUAAUUGUCGUAAACUUGUAGCUGUAAGACUUAUGGUAAUCAUUCAAUCAAAACUGACCAAAAUUUUCAAAUGUGGACUAGCCUGCUGUAUGAAUGAGUUGAAGCUGUGCCAGACCCUGUUUCUUUCAUCCUGCCUACAGCUGAAACAGACUUUGGAUGAAACAGACAGGGCCUGAGUUCCCAGAGUUUUCUGAAGUCUUAUCACAGUCAGGAACAUAUGCCAUCUUAUUGAGUACUCUGUACAUAUGCCUGACCUCUAAUGUGAAUUGUGAUAUUCGAUGAUCAUAAACUGAUAUGAUAUAGUGAUAUACUACCAUCUAUGCAUUGAGAGCAACUGCUUGCAGACUAGUAGGACUAUAUAGAAGUGUUUUUAGAUGGUGGUUCGUAAGUGGGCCGGUCGUGAAACCGUUACAUAUGUCUGGGCCUGAUGGGCCGGCUCCCUCCCAAAUCCGGCAAAUCCCAAUAGCGCUCUAUUCACCCGCACCGCCCGCUCUCGGCUGGCCUCCGCGGUCCGCACCGCCUACCGCCGCCUCCUCCGGCCAGCCAGUCGCCGCCGCAACCCCCAAGCUCCAGUCCCGGGCGCUGCUCCGCCUCCCUCCUCUUCCGGCGGCCUCCCUCGGUCCGUCCCUGGCUCCGCGCGCAACCGGAUCCAAGCGAGUCCGGCUUGGACACGUCACCAGUUUUCCUCUCCGCCGUCUGAUCGAGGUUAGCAAAAAGGGAAACCGACCUGCAAUCGCACGGGUAAGGUAAAACCAAGCUGUAGCCUUUUUAUCUGUCGGCCAGUCCGGUCUGUCCAUCCGGGAGCCGGGUUCGUUCCUUGGCGAUGGAAGAAACCCUAGCCGUCGAAUCCGCCGCCGGCGAGACGGCGGCCGCGCAGGCGCCUGAGCGGAAGGAAGAGACGCUCGAGGAGGUGCUCUCGAGGCACAGGUUGGUUCUCCCUUCCCCUUGCUUGCUGUGGAUUGGGUGAUUAAGCUCGUGCCUUUCCUACUAGAUUUCCGUUUAACUUACGCAUCGAAAUCGAUUUUCCACCCCCAAGGUACAUUACUUGGGGUUCUUGUAAAUUGUAGGGUGCCUGGUUAAUUGUAUUUGAUGACACUCUAGUACGGUCGUGGAUAGUGAAUUGCGACAAAAAGUAGUGCCUUUUCUCUCUUUUGAAGAUAAAGACAAAAUUACCGAGCUACCGAGUAGUUUGCAUUUGCAUAUCUUCUUGUCUUUGUAAUUUAGUGUGGUUAUUAUAGCUGGGCAGUAUUUCUGUGCUUUUUCUUCGUUAUACUACAACAGUUGCAAAUUGAUUUAUCUAGGAAGGUUGACAUUUUUGUCGCGACUCGCAACCUAGAUGACUAAACCUCUCAGGGGAGUGCAAUUUAGACCCAACCAUCCCAAUUCCAUAGAGAACAAAUUUAAUAAGCACACUUGCAUGCACCACAAAUAGAGAGGAAUCAGCUGUGGCGAAGUAACCAUGUGGCAUAUAUGCUAGCCUUAACUAUCUUUAUCAGAAGGGAUUAUAUCAGUUGUCAACCUUGCCAUGAACUAGAAAGAACAUGUGACUAUGUGUCGGUACUGUGACACUCAGAUACCAUAUCAUGCAUGCUAAGGUUAAGUUACACAGCAACUACGAACAUACCUCAGACUCAGACUGCUGGUUGGUGACAUAUCAUAUCUCAGACUCAGAUUAGAGCUGGCGACCAGCCUUGGGAUGAGUCCGCCUGGCCAACACUUCGGGAUGGAUGGAUUGAGUCCUAUAGAUGAUGCUUGUAGAUGAGAGACGGAGGAAGAUUGCCGCAUUUUCCUGGGGCAGGCAGGAAAAGAGCACACUUACGGGAAAGCGGCAUCGCAGGAUGGGACAUUGCCGGAGCACGUGGGCGAGAAAGAGCGUGCACGGGGAGGGGGAGGGGCUGUGGGUGCGCGAGCAGAGCGGGCCGUAGGGGUCGCCGGAACGUGCGAGGCACGGGGAUUUUGUGGCGGCAGGCAUCGGCAGCGCGGAGGUUGUAGGGCGUGGGCGCACUGGAUCUGAGUGGUGCCACUAGAAAUGAUGUCGCCGUCCACAACGUGAUAGCGAUUUUUUUCUUCCGUCUUAGAUGCACGUGAAGACUGAAGACUCCGUUUCUUGAUGUAGAAACGGUUUCUCCUUUUUUUCCUUCUCUCUAAAAUAAAUCUACUGCCACGUUAGCAAAUUGCUCACUUGGCAAGAUAAUUAAUACAUAUUGAAACUAUGGUAGUGUCUGCAUUGAGAGUGCCCUAAAAAAUUAUGGUUACAAUUAAAGUUCCUCGCUAUUAAAGCUAUUUAUUUAUGUAGUGAUGAUUGCAAGCAAAAUAUAUACUUGUAUGCACUUAAUUGUCAAGUGAUUACGCAGACACGCACAUGACACAAGUUGUACAUGCCAAUUGUUUGCCUUUUGGUUUCGUAUGGAUAGGCUUCUCUUAGAUACGUGUGCUAUUCUAUCUCUAGGGUCAUGUACUGAAGUGCAUUGCCACUGCAUUAGAAAGAUAUCACGGUGAUAUGAUUGUUGGAGAUUCUUAAUGCCAAUUGUUUACCUCCUGUUCUCCAAUUUGAUGGAUAGACUAGAUACAAUGUGUAUCUCUAGGUUCACUUGCUAUAUGUCAUGUACCAAAGUGCAUUGUCACUCCAUUACUACAAACUGGGAGUAGAGAAGCACAUCUAUGCCAAACUUUGCAGUCCAAUUGCUUUCAUAAUGAGAUAGAGGAUUGAUGCCAUUAACCCACUCUUGAACCAAUCAGCCUAAAGGAAAAGGUGUUACAAUUGUAAUGCACUUUGGUUAUUCAUUUCCUAUUCAAUGAAGUUUAUUAAGAUCACAUCAAUGCCAUCCAUAUUUUUUAGAAAAAAAAAAUGCUGCAUUGAUCACUUUAGGUGCAGUGGUUUAGAUUGUGCGAUGGUCUGAUGGACCUCUGUUUGAUAAUGUACAUAUCGGAAGAUUAAGUAUGACAUAAUAGUUUAGGUUUGAAAACUUUGUAUAAUGAUCAAUUCGAAACGCAUGUGUCUUUGAGGGGGUUUCUCCUUCGCUGAGCAUGCUUUGGAGUGAGCUAAAGAAUGAACAUAGUCUCUGGUGCAUGGCUGGGGCAAAGAAGCUCCUUGAGCUUGGUUUGGCGUUGGCUGACUAGGGCUGCUUAGUUAGGGUCUAGCUUCAGUUGAUUUCUAUGAGCCCAGUAAAGGUGUGUGUGUAAUUGCCUCACUCAUAUUUGGUCCCCGUAUGAGUGAGGAUCUUGUUGGGGACCCACCCUAUUUUUCUUCUCUAUAAUACAAUGAAACGCAGCUCUCCUGUGAUUUUCAAAAAAAAAUGUUAUACAAUAUAGUAGCCGAGUCGUCGUGGGGAACAAAGGGUCACACCUGAAGGUUCUGAUCAAUUUCUAGAGGCACUUUUAUGCCAGCUGACUGGUUAAGCACAAUAUAUUGUGUUGUGCACCAAGUAUGUUCAUGUCAAACCUUGUGACCUGCAAAGCUGUGGCUGUUUCAUAAUUCUCAAUUUGUCUUAUUGUGCAAAAUCAGGUGAGUAGCUGACUUGUGUUGAUGCUGGAACUUGCUGUUUUUAAUUCUUACUCCAUUCCUGAAAUAAGUUCGUUCUAGCCUCUUGGUCAGUUUUCACAAAACAGUUUGUUUUAUGUGGAGCACUGGUAAAUUAGACGGCUUUGCCCCGUGGCCCCUUCGUUUCCAGCGCUGCCUCUUCAUUAACACGCAGGAGCGCGGGUGAGCGCUGCAUGCGGCCAACCAGGAGUGGGCUGCAUGCAUGCAAGGCUGUAAAAAUCGCCAAAAAACGCGGGUGCGGGGGAUCGAACCUGUGCUGCACGCCUAAUAGCGCCCCUUGGUAACCGGUAGGACGAAGAGACAUAUUCGUUCAAUAGAUGCCUGAGAGACUAUUUAAUAAGGGCAAACAAGGAAAAAUAGCCUCUAAUUAAUCACUCCUUGGUAUCUUAUAAAUCAUGUCCAAAACGAACUUAUUUCUGGGAUGGAGGGAGUACUUACUUCCUUAUAGUUCACUUUAGCUUUAUCCUAAGUCAAACUUAGCUAGCUUAGGAUAAAUUAAAGUAAACUAUAAUUUGGAAUGAAGUAUUAUCAUCCUUGAUGUUCUUUGCCUGUUUACUUGAGGGUUUCAUAGCUAGCGAGCUUCUUCUUUUCCAGCAAGUCACUAGUUUCCUUACAAGUUCAAUAUAUCUGAAACAGGAAAGAGAAAUCAAAACUCCAGGAUAAGGAAACAAGCCUCAAGAAAGCUGCUGCAAAAGGAAGCAAAGCUGAGCAGAAGGCAAAGAAAAAGCAGGUAGAGGAAGAGAUUACACGCCUCUCAAGAGAGUUAGAGGCGAAUCAUGCUGCAGAGCUUGCUUCCUUUGGGUACAAACCCUCUGGCAGCUCAGAGAAGGGAAACCUUGACAACUUAGUGAAGGCCAUAGCUGGUGUUUCAGUUUCCAGCAAUUCGGAUUCUGCAAAGCCCAGCAAGGGAACACGACGGCGAGAGAAGAAGGCGAAGGAGGAAGCUGCUCGAGAGCAGCGGAUCCAAGAAGAACAAAGCAAUCUCGUGAGCGACCGCAUGUUAGAAAACGAGAAGCUUGAAAGGAAGCUUGAGCCCUUGGGGCUGACCAUUCAAGAGAUAAAGCCGGACGGUCACUGCCUGUACCGUGCUGUCGAAAACCAGCUAUUGCUCCAUUCCAAUGGUGCUGCACAGUACAGUUACCAGGACCUACGGCAAAUGGCAGCCAAGUACAUGAGGGAGCAUGCUGCUGAUUUCCUCCCAUUUUACUUAGCAGAAGGCAAGGCCGAUAUUGGACCAGAUCCCAUGGAGAGCUUCGAGAGGUACUGUGAGGAGAUGGAAUCCACUGCAGCUUGGGGUGGGCAGCUCGAACUUGGUGCACUGACCCACUGCCUGAAGAAACAUAUCGUGGUCUACUCAGGCUCCUUCCCGGAUGUGGAGAUGGGCAAAGAAUACAAAUCUGGAUCUGGAGGUAGUGAUGCCGGUGAUGCAAGCAUCAGGCUGUCGUUUCACAGGCAUGCCUAUGGUCUAGGCGAGCACUACAACUCGGUGAUUCCAGCCGAAUCAUCUUAACAAGAGAAACUCGAUGUUCUGAUGGUCUCUAAUACAUUUUGAUUGUUUAUGAGUGGUGCUUGUCUGAGUCUGAACACAAUAGAUGACUUUUUAUUUUCCUGGUUGCUGUAAUCUUUCAAUCUGUCGAUGAAGGUAGUGUACCAAUCAAAGCUGUAUUGGGGAGUUUGUUUCCCAAACAAUUUUGCUCUCUUCAGUGAUAUGUUUUGUGGUUUGAAGUUGUGUUCUGUUACUGUUCUCACUUCUCAAUAGUUGUUGUUGCUGCUUAUCCAUGAGUCCGUUUGCCUCUGCAACAGCAUCGUGUCGUUGCUGACUUGCAGCUUUCCGAAAUCCCGACCAUUUGAAUUGCAGUUUGGCCUUCGGUGUCCUUGUGAACUUCUGAGCUGUCCGUUUUAAUCGCAGUUUGGUCAUUGGUGUCGUUCUGAACUUGUGAAUUGUGAUCUGUCAUUGUGCUGCACUGCUGCUAAGCUAUGCGUGUGUUCUUGGAAGGCUGUCUGAUCUAUGUUACGCACUUGCUCCAACUUUUAUUCUCCUUUUCCGAGACAAAUUUGCUCUAUUUUUAGUUACAUUUACACACGUACAAUUUGCAGGCAGUACUGUCUGAUCGUGUCAACAUUGAAAACACAAAGCACACACUAAAAAAAAGUAGAUUAUUGCAGUGUUGUUGUCUUCCGUCAACUAUUAUGUCAUAUAUGUAAUAUGCUUGGGCAUAUUUUAUUUAUUAUAUACUCCUUUCAUCCUAAAAUAAUUUCCUAUCUCGUAUUUUAAGGAGUCAAACAAUCUCAAUUUUUACUAAAUAUAUACAAAAAAUAUUAAUAUUUGUCAUGCCAAAUACUGUAAACAUCAUUAGAUUAAUUGCUGUCAUAUAUUCUCAUAAUAAACCUAUUUACUAUAUUUUUUUAAAACCAAAGAUGGAGUCUUAUUUUGGACUGAAGUAGCAUUCCUCGCUAUUGUAUACAUCCUAGAUAGGUUCCCUCGGUUCCAAAAAAGAGUGUCGUUUUAGGUUUUUGUGCCACAAGUUUGACUCGAUUUGUAGAAAAUAUAUGCAAUAUUUAUAUCUCUAAAUAAAUUUGUUAAAAAACUAGACUUAAAGAUCUUUCCAAUGAUACUAAUUAUGUACUAUAAAUACUAAUAUUUUUUACUAUAUAUUUAGUUAAACUUAUUUUUCGGAAAACGAAACGACACUUAUUUUGGAACGGGAGUAGCUUUUAUGGGUAUGCCUUCCCGCACACAUUUUUAUCGCCUACGAAUCGAUGUAAGGGUAAUUACAUUAAUGUUGUAUCAUAGAUAGUCUUAUGCAAUGCCACGUAAAAUCAUGAGACGAUUGAACAACUACUAACUCAUACAAUCAGUUAUCUUUUAAGUUGUCUUAUAAGAAUCCAAUUAUCCUCAAUUUAUGCAAUCAACAAAGAAAAGAUUACUUUUUGUGAGUGCAUGGGAAUAUUAAAUCAUACUUAUAAUGGUAAAAUAAUAGUAAUCUGAUAGUCUUAAUUUUUCUGUCAUGAGAUAAUUGCUUCACAAAAUAACCACCUCUUGCUCUCUCCUUCACGUCCCGAGUGGCCACAUGUACUGUUCCUUUCUAGUUUCUACUUGCAACACGGCCCACAGGCCCAACUUGGGCUUGGGGACGCGAGCACAGGCCGCCACCUGCGCUCCAUCUGCAUUGCAUGACUGCAUCCAUCUCCAUCCCAUCCAUCUGACUUUUUUUUUGAUAGGCGAUCCAUCUGAAUUCAGAAUGGACGGACACGGAACAGCAUCGUUGGGCGUUGGCUGUUUGUUUGAGAUUAUUUAUUGAAUCUGUCAGAUAUUCAGUAAGGCUUUGUUUGGAUGUAGUUAGAUUCGUAUCAAUGCACAUGUGUUAGGGUGGGUUGGAGUGAAACUUGAACUAAUUCCACCCUAAUCCGUGAAUCCGACAACAUACAAACAAGACCUAAAGUGUAUUUUUAGCCAUGACUUAUUAGUUAAUCCAAUAGGAUGUGUGACUCUGCUUGACUGCUCUAGUGCCCACUGGCCACUGCACUGCAGACUCCACUCCAGCGACUCUGUGAUGGCGGCCAUCUUGGAUUCUUUCUUGGGUCUUGGUCUUGGGUAUGGCGGCCAGCCCAUCCUAUCAUUAUUGGCUCAGGAUGGGGGCAGCCAGAGCCACCGAGCCAGGCACACUAUUACCUGCCGGACAUGUGCUCGCCGGCCGGCUCCACUUCCACUCUGCGACUGCGACUGCGUUGUCUCCAAAGAUAUCUGCAGUGGACGCUCGCUCCGCUCCACAGCGACGCCGUUCACCUCACCUCUAGCAUCCUGAUCCACCUCGAUUGCUUCCUCCCCUCCUUGACUGCUCUCGCUCGCUUGCCACCACGUCCUACAGUAGACGAUCAGCCCGAACUACCGAACAUGCUACGAACGGGUACAGUACUGCGGAGUACGUAGCUACUAGUUCUAUUACGAAAUUAAUACAAUUCUGCGAAGUUGUGGACCACAGCGCAUUCACGUUCAGGAGAUAUAAAACUUAUUGCCAUGUAAACACGAUCAACAUCAAUUGAAAAGUCGAUGAUGCUGGUUCAGAAAAUUCCAAAAAAAAAAAGGUUUGACUAAGGUAGCACUUUCAUUUAUGCUUGGUAAUUAUUAUCUAACCAUAAACUAACUACAAACAAACUAUACAAUUACUUAUUUUUUUAUUUAUAUUUAAUGCUCCCUACAUGUACCAUAAGAUUCAUAAUUUUUGGGAACAAAACACUGAACGAUGGGAGACCUAGUCCUACUUACCAAGACGAAUGUUUUGAUUGCCGGUAAACAGGAUCUUCCUUUUUCCGUUUACAGUCCUGCGGGCCAAUGUUUGGUUGGCCUGGGAAAUUGCGUCACAUGGACCCUGUCAUGUUUUCACAACGGCACAAAUUUUUCCAGCGUCGACACGCACAGAAUUGAAAAUUAAGCUGCUGCUGUUCUGCCCCCGCCCCCAAAACAAACCGUCUCUCACAAGAGAUUACCAGGAAAAGCCAACGAAAACAUCUGACUGAUGUACAUGUCAUUGGUGCACUAUUUAUACCUUCACUACCCGAGUACAGAACAUUUUAUGAUCUCCAAGAUGUGCUCUAUCCAAAACUAUUAACAAUGCAAUGGCAUGGACAUUUCCUCUUCUUUUUUUCACCCUUUUGUUCUUGUUCUUGUUCUUGUACCCAACCAGCACAGUUAGGCAGUUACCCACCAUCCAUCAGUGGCACACAAAGCUGCUGGCCUAGAUCUGAAUUCUGCCCAUUCCACCUUUCGGUGCGCCACACUGACAUCCAUCAAAGGUGAAAAAAAGGGUGACAGGGAAAAAAAGAGGCACAGCCCAUAACCACAAGGACAAGUGAAUCUACCAUAUAGGAAAAGGAGGUAGGCCACCAUAAGGGUGCCAUGCUUCUCUUCAGAAGCUAUCCUGGCACUAAUGAAAAGAGAACAAGAAGAAACUCAAGAGAGAAACUACUACAAGUGAAGCCACCAGCACAAACAAAAGACAGACCCACCCAUUCACAUCACAUACUACUACCUAGAGCUACCAGAAAACUGAUGUAUUACCACUCCGAUGGCUGUCACACCUUGAAAGUUACUGGCAGUUGGAGCUCCUCCCAGGGCCGCCGUAGUAGAAGUAGGUGCCCCAGUCGCCGUUGUUGCCGUUCUGCACGUCGUAGCAGUUUGACUGCUCAGUGAAGGUGCCCAGCCCCUUGGGGGCCUUGAGGUUGUUGGUGCUGUCCACCACCUGGAUGUUCUUGAAGUAGCUCGCCUUGCUGAACCCUUCCUCCGGGAAGUGCCCGCUGCCCAUCUGCGUCGAGGUGUGCACGCCGUCUGGCUGCGAGUUCACCACCUCCCCACCCCACUCGAUCAUCGAAGCGCUGUCCGCCAGGUACGAGAAGAGAAAGGACGGCCAGUAGCCGAGCACGUAAUCCUUGCCGAAUUGCAUCCACCAGUUGCCCUCCUUUGGGUCCUGCACAGUUAACAUCAUACGGAAGAGAUUAACUAUAGAUAUAGCAGCCACACAUUGGAUGUAUUUUAUGCAAAAUCCUUUUCUACAUUUACAUAGCUAGAUUUGAGUAUUAGGGAAUAAUAGCCGCUGAUGCUGAGCAUACACUAAGGUGCCGUUUGGAUGCUGGGUGGGUAUGGGAUAAAGAUAUGUGGUGGCUUAUUAUAAGUUGGUGGGUUUGGAUUAGGGAUAAAAGAUUCUAUUGCCUUUCCCAUGUCUGGAUGCAUUUGGAUUGGGUUUGGGUUAAGUAAUGGAAAAUGCAAAAGAAAAAAAAAGGAAGAUUCACAUCUCCAGAAGUAUGCUGUUGCCCAUCUCUUUGCUUCCAUGGCGAUCACUGCUGACUCCUAUGUAUGCUUGCUGGUAGUCAGUACUACAACUCCUGUGGCGUGACUUGCUAGGGAUGUUGUGUUCGCUGUUCCUUGUGGCGGCAAGUGGCCACAGGUGCGAUACAUUGGACUGACAGGAGUCAGGUAUGGGAUAUGAGCCCCUUUUAUCCCUUAUCCCAAACCCAACUCAUUUCCAUAUCCCUUUUACCAAACAAGGCAAAACAUAUCCUACCCUGCCCAUUUCCUAUUCCCACCUGUUAUACCCCACAAUCCAAAUGCCACCUAAGUGGAUGCAUUCAUGUUCUUCUAGCAUGCAAAUCGUGCACUCAUUACCCAUGCUCAAUGGAAAUGGAAAAACACUAGCUGGUUGAGGUGAAAAGUAGCAAUGGUUGUUUCUUUUGAAAAAAAUCAAAAGUAGAUUAAUCAUUAGCGAUAAGAAAGAGGUUGUUGAGAAAAGGAGUAUGAUAACCACGGGUAAGGAGGAAACCAAUUUUCAAAGCCCCAGGGUACAGGUUCACGAGUCAAGAAGGAGCACGAGUAAGAGCAUAACAGCAAGUGGGCUAAAGAUUCUCUGCAUGUCUGAUAAUUCUGUACGUACUAGGCAUGGCAUGUGGUGAGUUACUAAUUUAAUUACUUAUCUCACCUUCCAGAUCAGUAUACUGAUAUCAUAUUGGGAACCAGAGUAGCUUGAGGUUGGGAAGAUGCUGGCUCCCAUGGCAAUCUGGUUGUUAACCUGAAUGAACCCUGAGCACAGCAUGUUGUAGCACCCUGUUGCCUGGUAUGCAUCACUCUACAAAUGCCACAUGGCGAAACAGUUCAGGAACUGUAAAUGAAAGCAUAAUCUCUCUUCAAAUGUUGCAAUAACGGUAAGAUAGGAUAGGCAGAAUGCUCAAAACUUACAGUCCAGUACGUGAACAGCCUUGUGUUGUUAUCCCCAUAGAGGUCUGGACUAACCUGAUCAAACAGAGAAGCACGGAAGUGAUUCAGAGCUCGUGAUGACAUAUACACAGAUACACUGCAUCGCGGGACAGCAGGGCAACCAACCGCGAAAACGGUGGUGCAUUUACUCGAUGCUGAUUAUGAAUAUGAAGCUCAUGUGCUGUGGGUCUUUUUCUCUCUCUACCUGCCAUCCAGCCUCGAUGCUGUUCAGAUCCUCCCCAAAUGAGCCCCCCAAGAUCCAGAGCUGGGACAAGCUGAACUCGUUAGGCUGCUCGAUCUUGGGCUCCCACACAUUGAUAGUCGCCUUGGCGCCAUAGUACUUGUCUCCCUGAACAUACGCUAUGGCAUGCUGCGAUUGUCAACAACAGUUAUGAGCAUCACGGUACAACAGCACACUUAUGUAGCUUCUUUCUUCCACCCCACAGGUCAUCAACAACAUAGGGGAUGAUACGAGCAGGUACCUGAUGGCCACCCUCGUUGAGCAUGGUGGGGUUGACGGACAUUGGGUUCGCGGUGGUGUGCCGCUUCCUGCCGUACCGCCGCAUUGAGCUUGCCCUGAGCAGGUCGUCCUUCUUCGUUCUCCUGAUGGGGACUGUACCUUCAGGACACAUCCCAUUCUGAUGCCAGAGCUGAACCAUAGGCCUCUCCCCACUGCUGCUGGAGGUCUUGGAUUCGUCGAACAGGCCUUCGGGGUGGUAGUUCGGCCUCAUCUGCAAACCGUAGAAUGCGUUAACUAUGACAUUAUUCCAACAAGACCAAUUCAGUUACUGCACGUUUUCAGCAGGGGAGUUUACCUGGAUUGUGUGAUUCUUGAGGUAGGGGUGAUCAAACGCUGGCUGAUGUGAGAUGUGCACGCAGUCUAUCAUGUCCCCGUCUGGACUCUGCAGAUUUGCAAUUCGCAGCCAGCUGGAUUAGAAUUAGAUGUGCGACUGGAACAGAGAGUUUCCCCGCGAAAGGAUUUAGUUUGACAACUCUCUGAUAAAUUAGUUUCCCCAAGUCAAGCAAGAAAGAACUAAAUACAAGAACAAGCACAAAGCAUGCACACAAAAGAGAAGAUUAGAUUAGACAUAAAGAUAGCAAAUUUCCAAGAACAACCAGAAAAGAAGCCUCAAAAGCUGUCGUCCUCAACGAGUAGUCAAAAGGUAGACACACCCAUCUCCUCGCUUGGGCUUGUUCAAAUGCUCACUAAUGCAGCGUUAGUUUAUCUAUGGAAAAAUCUCCUCAAGAAAAUAUUUUCUCCCCAAGCAAGCAAUUCAAAUCUACCAAGAGUAACAGCAAAACUGCCGGCAUGGCACACACGCACACCUCCGCGGGACGAAAAGCCGGAGGAAACAAGUGGGUUGACGCACCUCGAUACUCUUCACGGCCGGUUUGUUGAGCCGCUUGAGGUGGCGGUGCAGCCUCGCGGCCGGCGACCUCGCGGCGGCGGCGGCGGCGCACGACAAGCAGAUGACCGCCACGAGCAGGCACGCGACCCCCCGCGAGGUGUCCAUGGGCGGCGCCUCCUCCUCAGUCUUGAGACACCUCCACCGCUGCCGCGCCUCCUUUUCCCCUUCCGCUCGCCUCCUCCGGCGAGCUCGCAAAGCAGGGCCUCGCCUCGCUUUACCCCCCAGACACAGAGCCCCCUCGCCGCCGCCGGCGCGGCUGCCACCACACACCAGGGGGCCGAUUCGAGAAUUUUGAAACAAUGCGGGUGCCUGCCUGCGUGGUGAGAGAGUGGGAUUGGGAACGGGAGUAAUGGCAGGCUCGUCGCCUUGGGCGGCUCGUCGCCUCGGUUGGGAGCGGCGCGUGCGUCCACUAGCGCUUGCUGCAGACCACAAACAAGUGGGCACUCAUCAGUGAAGACUGUUGUGAAGCGAGCAGCGCUCUGCACUCUCGCGGCCACUUUUGCCGUUUCCCCAGCUUGUGCUUCUGGACGGAAAUGCCCCUCUAUGAUUCGGGAAUUAUUGUUAGAGGCACCCGGCCUCCAACGUCAAACCGGGGACCCAUGCCCACUGAUAUGUGGGCCUCCAAUGUCUGGAUGUGAUCAGCUGGUAACGGAAAUUCGUCAAUAAUAAAAUAAAGUGAGUCAAAUCCCUUCAAAGGAACCAAUGCUCCAUAACAAUGUACUCCCCCCCCUCCAAGAAAAAAAAUAUGCAAUCCUAGGCCAACAUCACAUUUUAGUAUCUUGAUGAGUUUGAGGAUAAAAAAUAUCAAUUUUAUAUUAAAUAAAUAUUAUUAGAUUAAUUAUGAAAUGUAUUGUCAUAAUAAAUUGAUUUGCUACAGGGUAGGAACUUGGUCAAACGUAAAUUACUUUUACUAGUAUAGAAACCCAUAGGCCUUGUUUAGUUCGCAAAAAAUUUCAAGAUUCCCCGUCACAUCGAAUCUUUGGUCGCAUACAUGGAGCAUUAAAUAUAGACGAAAAUAAAAACUAACUGCACAGUUUACCUAUAAUUUAUGAGAUUAAUCUUUUGAGCCUAGUUACUCCGUGAUUGGACAAUGUUUGUCAAAUAAAAAUGAAAUGCUACAGUAUCCAAAAACAAAAAAAAUUGCGAACUAAACAAGGCCAUAGUUGCAUUCUUUCCUGGAUGGAGGGAGCAGCUCAUAUGAAGUAAAAUUAUAUUUGUCGUUGUGUCUUUAGGACAGUCCUAUUAAACAAACUAAGUACUUAAUAGUAGUAUAUUUACCACCUAAGAAGCUAUAGCUCACAGUGUACAAUGUCCAAGCUAUGGCUAUAAAAAAAAACUCAUCCAGUCAUCUUCCUUUCCCAACGCUCUUUUGUUUUGUCCUAGUAUUUAUAGUGUCCAUUCCGUUUCUUAAUUUAGUUUUUGUUCUUGUGCAAGGCAUAGCUUUUGUAUGAGGCUCAGUUUCUUGAAAUUUUCAUCCCUUCCUCCCCUUGAUGCCAUGGUGAAAUCAGUGAAGUGUGCUGUGUGUCAUCCUAUUAAUUCGGCAUAGAAACUAUUCUGUUCACGAGUGUCUUUAUAAAACACCACCCUAGAUAUAAUCGAUACCUUCUAACUAAUAAGUGUUUAUAUAUUGCAAAAAGGUUUCUAAAAAUAUAGACGUGCACCUUACGGCAGAGAGCAGGCAUUCAAAAAGUUCAUUUUUCUCCUGAGACCGUGUUUUUUUUGACAAGGGUUUGCUGACCGACCAGCACUGCUCGUGUUGAUGCUGUUGGCUGGUCGUGGACUCGUGGGUUGGUAGGAGUAGUAAUUUUCUUUAUCCGGGCUCGUGUCGGGUCCUAGGUUGGCCCACCCGCCAGCUUUGCCCGCCCAUCCGGCACCACCUCGGGCCCGGCGGCAGGGCAAACGUCCGUCGGCUUCCGCCCAGCCCAGGGCCGACCCGUCACCCUGCGCGGCACUUGCGCCCCCGCCCAGCAAAGAGAGCCGCGAGCCACGAGGCCGGCGGGCCAUGCCUGGCAGCGGCUCAACGCAUGCGCGUGAUGAGGGUCACGCACCGCUGCGGAGCGCACGCAUUGGAUCCGGGCCGGGCCGGGCCGGGCGCACGCACGCGCAAAGCGGAGGGGGCUUUUGCUUAACAUAACACCGGCCGCUUUACGAAAGGCGACGCCGUUAACAAAGUGAUUAUUUUUACCACGACGUCCUCUGCAUGCACAAAGCCGGCGAAAGGAGCACCAACAGCAGGCAGACCGAGAUUUUUACCCGCGAGAUUUGUCUAAUUCCUACCGGCAGUACACUUCGGUGUUAGCUAGGGUUCCAGUCAGAAGCCGGCAAAACGCCCGUACGAACGAGCCCGGGAAACCGUGUACGACGGCUCCAGACGUACAUCGGUUGGAUGUUUUCGGUUUUGGUACGGCGCCGCGCCGGUAAUUAUAGUACUCCAUAGUAGAUUAAUUAUACUCCAUAAUAUUAAAUAUUCUAUGGAUACGUCGAAAUAUUCAAUGUGAUAGGAAAUCUUGAAAACUUUUAAGAAGUAAACAAGGUCUUAUAUCAGUUUGGUUUUUGAGGAAUUAUUUAGUUUGUUAGCACGGCGGGAUCGGAGCAAGCAGACAGCAUUGUCGUGGCAUGCAUGCAUUUUAGCAUUUGAUUCACCCACAAGCUGCGACAAGCAGAUGGGAUCCAACCUGACGAGAAAGCCGUCGCUUUUGCUCAUGCGCAAGCGCAAAACACUUGAAAGACACCUUUCUCUCUUCUUUGUUGCUUUUCUUUGAUGCUUCUUCUAUUAUUUCCGAACGAGAGAAUGGAAAGGCAGUUCGUAAAGGCCACUGAGAUGCCCUAUGUAUGUAAUUAUAAAAUGGUCACUUCCAACUACAACAACCGAAUCAUGCCUUGUCCUAUCUCUAUCACUCGCUUUGUCACUCACACUACCACCGACGCACUAGUAGACUGUACACGUAGCUUGUGUGGCACAACAAAUGAGGGUCCCUAUUGUGUUUGGUUACUAGCAGCUUUAUGUUGUUGAAUUAAAUGAAUAAAAUGCUAUUUGCCAAAAAAACGAACCUCUACCCUGCCCUUACCAACGGUAUGUAGUUGUAUGAGAUGAGCUGACUUGUUUAGUUCGUAAAAAUUUUCAAGAUUCUCUGUCACAUCGAAUCUUUGGUCGCAUGUAUGAAACACUAAAUAUAGAUAAAAAUAAAAGCUAAUUGCACAGUUUAAAUGUAAUUUGUGAGAUGAAUCUUUUGAGCCUGCUUACUCUGUGAUUGAAUAAUGUUUGUCAAAUAAAAACAAAAGUGCUACGGUAGCCAAAAACCAAAGUUUUUGCGAACUAAACAAGGCAUAUUUGUGCUUUAGACGUGUGGGAGAGUGUCCGGCUCAGGUUCCACCACCCACUGUAGCAAAAAGCGAUUUUUUUCAAAAACUAUAGAUGCCAAAAAGAUAAACUGGGAAUCAAUAAAGCUAUUAUUUUUAGUUUCGUCAGUCUUGAUUCUUCCACGUACAUGUCUGGCAGAAGAGUAAAUCCAUUUGAAGCUAUGCCAAAUGGAGCCAUGUAUGAUGGUGUCCGUUCGACAAGGCAUCAGACUGAAACCAAUCCCUUCGCGUUAGUACGUAGAUGCAAUCAUGCAAAGACUUUGGUAACACGGUUUUCUUCUCUACUAAAAACUCCUUCGGAAAAGUCCAGGAAUUAAAUUCUUGGUAAAUUCAGGGAUAUACUACUAUGGCUUCAUUGUACGACACUACGACGAUAUGGACAGAGAACAGCAGAGCGUGCGAGUGCACAUGCUGGAGACGAGGAAGUCACACCACGUGAGCUGAUGGCGCGAAGAACACGAGGCGAGAGAGAGCGAGAGUUUUGGGCCGGGGCACAAUCGAAGGUUAGUUCGGAAAAAAUUUCGCAUUUCGCUAUUAUAAUAUUUUUAUUUUUAUUUGAUAAAUAUUAUUUAAUUAUGAAUUAACUAUGAUCAAAAGAUUCGUCUCGCGAUUUACAGACAGACUGUAUAAUUAAUUUUUGUUUUCGUCUAUAUUUAAUGCUUCAUGCAUGUGCUGCAAGAUUUGAUGUGACGGAGAAUAUUGAAAACUUUUUGGAUUUCGGAGUGAACUGGGCCUUGUUUAGUUCCCAAAAUUUUUGCAAAAUGUGAACAGUACCAAUUUCGUUUGUAUUUGACAAAUAUUGUCCAAUCAUGGACUAACUAGGCUCAAAAGAUUCGUCUCAUUAAUUUCGAUCAAAAUGUGUAAUUAGUUUUUAUUUUUCAUCUAUAUUUAAUACUUCAUGCAUACGUCUAAAGAUUCGAUGUGACGGAGAAUCUGAAAAUUUUUGCAAAAUUUAUAGGGAACUAAACAAGGCCUAAACAAAGCCCACGAGCCGUUAUCACAUGGUCUCGCUGUUGUCACUGAAUCAGUGAUAGAGGAGCAGAGCUGGCAGGUUCAUUUGUCCACUUGUAUACGCUGAAAGGCAAACAAAAAACACACGGGCUUUAUAUGAUCGUACUGUACUGGAUUCUUUUGUUUAGGCUUUGUUUAGUUUUCAAAUUUUUUUGAUUUUGGGUAAUGUAGCGGAGAAUUUGAAAAGUUUUUUUUAUUUUUGGGUUGAACUAAACAACUCUACUUGAUUUGAUACGUGACUCAGACAUCAGUCGUGUUCGAGCAGUUGAAACAGCCGCUCACAGCUGCUGCCAUUAGAGUGUUGUCUGAACAGUUGAAAGUGGCUAAUCAAGCAAGCUGUGAGCCAUUAGAGUGUGCUGCCAUACAUGAUGCAUGGAUGUCUAAUUAAUGUCUUUGACAGUUGACACAGAUGUUUAGUUUCGUUUCCUUUCCUAAUCAAGCAAGCUGGAAGCCACUGUCGAGAGUCGAAUUUACACACACAGUCAACCUCACGUAUUCAUUCCGAUCUUAUCACGUCCAAUAAUAUCCUCUACCCACGCAAACAUUCCAGCUGAAAGAAACAGAUCACCUACCGAUGCAAAGAACAUGCAUGCGUGCAUGAUGAGGUCACUCCACUCUGUUCUCCUGCCCUAGUUUCAAAGCACCCUUUCUUCGACUUUCGAGAGAAACAAAAACGGGUGUUUGGCCUCCUGAUAUUUUUUAACUCCCAUUAAAUUAAAUAUUUUAACACAUGUAUAAAUUACUAAAUAUACACUAUUUAUAAAACUUAAAAUACAACUAGAAAAUAAUUGCGAGUAGAAUUUUUAAAGUCUAAUUAGUCUAUAAUUAGAUACUAAUUAUCAAAUAAAACAAAAAAAUUACGAUAACUAUUAUAUUUUAAUAUCACCCACUAAAGUCUAAAGACCCUCUAACUGUGGUCGUCUAGCACUAGCAGGCUCUGCUUACUCCUGUUUCAGAGCUUUUCUUUCCUGUGGUGUGUGUGUAUGCAGAACAGAAUGAUGGCCCGUGCCUGCCUUGUACCACCGCACCGGCAGCACGAGCAUAGCAGCAUGGCCGUCGGUGGAGACGGUGGGGGUACUCGGGAAGGUCGACCGCACGGAAUUUUUAACCUGCAAUGCAAGCAAUGUUCGUGUUCCCGUACUCGAGGAACAAGCGGCGUGAACUCGACACAUGGCUGAUCUGCCACGCACGUAUACAUACGGCUCUAUACCUGGGACCGUAUAGUAUAGGUGUCGCGGUACGGUGUCACCACCAACCUGAACUUGGGUCGGAGCCUCUCAUCGUACAAUUUCAAAAUAAAGCCCAGUGUGAAAAAAAAUCCUUCGCGUUAAAUAACCGCUUCAAUCGCGCACUCCUCCUUCCAUUCCAAACUAGUAUAAAAUAAUUUGAUUUUUUUCUAGACACAUAGUUGUUCCUAUAUGUAUUUAGGUAUACAGUGUAUCUAGCUAGAUACGUACGCAGUAGUAAAGAAAUAUACCCAAAAAAGUUCAAAACAUCUACUGUAGAAUCUAGUACCCAUAAUUCUUCAGAAGGAUGCAAACAAAGGGAAGCUAGGGAAGAUCAGAGAGCUAGCUGAAUGCCUAAUAGCAGGAAGGUUAUCACUGCAUCACAAAUUAAAUUAACUGUGUGUAAAUAAAAGAACCAAACAGUCCUGCCACAAGGCACGGAACGGCACUAGUGUACGUACCAUGGUUCUAUCGAUCAUCUCGCUUGCCCGUGAAGCAACAACAUGCCGAGGGCUACUUCGAUUCAUCGGUGCUCUAAGUCUAUAGGUUUCAUUUCAUUUCCAAGCUAACGCCUUGUUUAGUUCCGAAAAGUGAAAAGUUUUCGGUACUGUAGCACUUUCGUUUGUUUGUGACAAAUAUUAUUCAAUUAUGGACUAACUAGAAUCAAAAGAUUCAUCUCGUGAUUUACAGCUAAACUGUGUAAUUAGUUUUUAUUUUCGUCUAUAUUUAAUGUUUCAUGCAUGUGACAUAAGAUUUGAUGUGACGGAGAAUCUUGAAAACUUUUUGGUUUUCAGAGUGAACUAAACAUGGCCUAAGCAGGAUUUAGUGGUGCCCUAGUACGAUAGUACCACACCUCACCUCCAUGGCUCCAUGGCCACCGGCGAGCACACGGGCCCAUGGGGCCCGCGUGUGUGUUCACGGUUCACGAGCCCACUCAUGUGCCGAAGGCUGCCGGUUGUUGCGCCGCCCACGGAGAGCCACACACUCACAGAUGACACUUUUGGACUUGUUGGGGACUGCAUGCCUGAGCCAUAAUGAGAGCAACAUUUCAGCUGUAGCAAAUAUAAUCGCUUGUUUUAUUUUUUUUUGUUUUUUAUUUUUUUAUUAUCUGUAAAUGUUUAGGCACGGAUCCAUGCAUGCGUGUGUGGAGACCAGUAUAGCAUGGAGAAUCGUUGAGAGGCCUGACCUUGACCCGUAUACAGUAGCAAAGAAAUGUUUGUAACAUUAGCCUUGUUUAGUUCUGAAAAGAUUUCGGAUUUCGCUACUGUAGCACUUUCGUUUUUAUUUAACAAAUAUUAUCCAACCAUGAACUAACUAAGAUCAAAAGAUUCGUGUCGCGAUUUACAGAUAAACUGUGUAAUUAGUUUUUAUUUUCGUCUAUAUUUAAUGCUUCAUACAUGUGCCGCAAGAUUCGAUGUGACAGGAAAUCUUGAAAACUUUUUAGAUUUCGGGAUGAACUAAACAAGGCCUUUAUUCAUCAGCCUGCCUCAGGCUACUUGCAAAAUCAUUGACCAUGAUAUAUAAUUGGUCACUGUGUCUGCAUAAAAGGAUGAAACAUUUUCACUGUACCUCGCAGUCGCAGAGAGACAGAAGCACAGAAAGCACGUGCACGAUGUCAUAGGAUAAGGUCCCCCCUCUUCCAUUUGUCUCUCUCCAGCGUACACCUUGGACCUUGGAGGCUUUGGACCUUGCAUCGACCACUACUUGCCCAUACAAAUGCCUGACAAGGGGAGACAGAGUUUCCAUGAGGACCAAGCAUGUAUUAGUAGUAUUUUUUUUUAUGAAACCAUGUAUUAGUAGUAUUACCACUAGACGAUAGACAUCAACCAACUUAGAGCAGUGCAGAUUAUAAAGUUAUUAUAACACCAAAAUAUACAAUUGUCUGGUCACCAUAAGCAUAAGCAUUGUUGGUGUUCUGGCUAGAAAGAAUCACCUCCCUGAAGGAAGCACGUUGAUAAUUUCUGCUUCUCCUUGUCACGGUGAAACUUGUGUUAGAAUGGUGUAAUUCAGCGAUUCUUGUCACUUGCACAAGCGCUGUUGUGCAAUAGUUUGGUACUUGGUAGGUAGGAUGCAGUGCUGUGAAAACUGUCAAUGUGUGUUGAACGCACGUUCCAGGACGCGGAACGUGACACCGUGAUCGUCUCCUUCAGGCUUCAGCAGCGGCGCACCACUGCACGAUCCCCCCGAGCACGGAGCACCUAACUCCGCCAUGGUCCAACUGAAGCGGAGGCUAUUCUACUGCACAGACUACAGACCUGCAGAUGCAAAUGGAGCCACGUGGAAAAGCAUUAGAUUUCAUUGGAGAAUCGCUGGGGGUUCUUAUGACACUGGAGCUGCGAGAUUUUUAAAUCGGUGUUUUCAAAUGCAACCUCCCAAAUUCGUCUUAAAAAAUCAGUUAUACAUAGUCUUUACCGCCUACACUACAGGUUCGCAACGUCAUUUUCUAGCAAAAUACACUACUUAUUUGCAAAAACAGUACUGGUAAUUCGGAUGCAACGGGGAGAACAUAAGCUGCCUGAGAUUCAAAGAGCUGCGAACCGCCACAUCAAAUGUGAACCAUGAGGCUUUAUACGUCCCAACAACAAUUUUACAUCCAUGUAUGGGCCAAUGUGGGGGAAAAAAUACUGUGAAACAAUGCAAUGCACGUUGGCUGAUCUGAAUGGUUAGCAUAGAGCUAACCGGGCGACAGUAACAAAACAACUGUCAUCGAUCGACAACAGACUCCAAAAUCACUGAAACAAACACUGGCUGGAGCAGCCUCUUCUUUCUGCUUCGGUUGCCAAAUAUCCCCCCGAGAUUAUACACACAUGGCAAAUGUAAUAUAGCUGACUCAGCUUUGAUCUUCGUAGUGUGACGUCAUUCAUUUACACAUUUCACCUCUUCAUGAGAACCUGCAAGUUUCAGUUGGGUUAACAAUUACCAAGAGCAGCAAUAACUUUAAAACACAUGCAUUUUUUUUUAGAAAAAAUACAGGACUUGAAUAAUAAUAUUUCCUGAGAAACCAUAUCCUUUUGGAGAUUAUUCCAGAGCCAUCUACUCCCAACACCAUAAACUUGAACGAAUUAAGUGUAAUGCCAAGCGAAUUCUGCGAAUAUUUGAUCUAAAAAAAUUACAGUUUUCUUUGAUUGUUGUGAGUAUGCCAAAAGAAAAUGAAGGUAAACUUAAUGUGGUUGCAACAAGUUCUUCAGCCACAGUUCAACUCAUAUGAAACUAGGUUGCCAGCCUAUUAGUAACUUCAAACAUCAACAAUGGGCCAGACAAAAUUCACAUUCCAAUUCUCAGGAGCUAAUAUUGGACAACAACUGGAUGGAUAAGUGAAAAAACCUAUGCCCCUUUCUAAAUCUGAAAAGUGUAUCUAGUAGACAGAAAACUGUCAUGAUGAUUACAUGUUCCAAGCAAACCAUCUAAAAAGAAUGAGGGAUGCUUGAAUAGCUGUAAGCAGCUUCAAAUUGGCACAUUUGACCUGCUGAACUUCUUUCUCGGGCAAGUAUCUACCAGCAGAUCUAAAUUACUACCUGUCACUCUUUUUUCUGCAAGGUGUAUUUUGUUUUGUUAGGAAAAGAAUUCAAAGAGCAAUUACUAUAUUGAUAUUUUAUUUAUGAGAUAAAAAUUAUAAUCAUAAGCAAGAUUUUUUUUAAUACAUGACCCUAAUGACAUCAACUGUGUCAAAAAAAACAUGUCUUAAAGAAGUAAUCAGUAGUCAAAAGCUUCUAAAUGAAAUUGUAAUUUCACACAGAGGGAAUACAUGAUUUCAUCAUGCAGUGUUCCAGUGACAGUAUAUUUCUUCCUAACGCAUUAUGAUAUACCAGGAGCUAAAACAGAGAAUAAUCAGUCGAAGAUCCAAAAGAAAUGAAGGAAUAAAACUGUGCAGAAUAAUUUAAAAGCUAGCUAAUAUAUGUACACCUCUACUUUGGAUCAUUAACAAAUAGGUACUGCUGACAACUACACGACCGGUUGGACACGUAUUGUCAGGUUUAGCUAACAGGUACCAGUGAAUUAGUCCCAUCAAAGGAACAUCAAAUAGACACUAAGAUGAACAAAUGGAUCAAUAUUAACCUGAUCACAAUGCCAUUUCCGCUUGCAGUGCAGCAAGCUCAUCAUCUUCAGCUGUAGCUUUCUGUGGAGCAGGGCGAGCUGGUUGCUUGUUGGCUGGUACAUGCACUGGAUGCAUCGGAGGAGCUGCAACAGGCUCCAGAAGCUGAGAUUCCAACUCUGCUCCCUCCAGUUCUUCAAGUUCCGCCUCCAGUUCAUCCUGUAAGUUUUUAAAGUGGUAAGUGUGUCAGAGAAAACUAUGCACUGCUAGAUUGCAAAUCUUAAAUGUCUACAGUGAAUUACCUCGUCAAAAUCAGCAGCAGCUCCAAGAGGAGCUGACAAAGCAUCCUGAAUUUGUUUCAUAUUUUCAGUCUGUUCGUUAAUUUCAUCCAUGGUCUUGUCGACAUCAUCAAUGUUUCUGCAAGGACAUGUUAAAUAAUCAUUUUAAGACCUUGAACGACUAGGUGUGCAAAUCCUAAAAUGGACUCAAAAUAAAUACUAACGUCGCCUUUUGCAUUGCUUUCAUAGCAGCAGCUCCAGUUCUCAAUGCAUCAACAGUCUCUGUUGUAGCUUUAGCUGCUUCUAACAUGAUCAUCUGUAUAAAAAAUGGGUUACACAGUUAACACACAUAACAUACAGUAAACAAAAAGCUCAAUGUUUGAGUGCAAAUAUACCUGAUCAUGGAUUCUCAACUGAAAAUUUCCAAGCUGCUCAAUUUGUUGCUCAUAAAGUUUUUUCCUCUUCAAGGCUUGGAUAGCCGCUGUUAAGAGGAAGUUUAUUUGUAUUAGCACAAGUUUCUAUAAAUCCAGUCUCCAUUGCAUAAGGAAGGAAGUUGGUAGCAUUUGAAUAUGAUCAAUAUUAGUUUACAUGGAAGCCAAAAAGAGGAAAAAUAAAGUGAACAUAAGCUGUAUUAGCUAAUAAUGCAUGAUCAUGAGGUCUUCAGGUAAAAGAUGUUGAAAAUUGCACCACAAAUAAUGGACCAUGGAAUUUGCAUUCUACGUGGAUCUAUUACAUUGCAGGUGCAUACAAACCUAAAUUCAUUUUGAUAAAAUACUACGUCAACAUUGUGACACAAUACUAACAAUUACAAGCACAAUAACUGUGUCAAAGGAAAAUAGGAAAUACCAGCAUAAUUGUAGAUCCAAUGCACCAUGCCCAAAGAAAUUUAUAUACACAAAUAUGAUGGAUAAGCCUAAAUUCAUUUUGAUAAAAUACCAUGUCAACAUUGUGACACAACGCUAACAAUUAUAAGCACAAUAGCUAUGUCAAAGGAAAUGCCCAUAUAAUUGUUGAUCCAAUGCACCAAAGAAAUUUAUAUACACAAAAAUGAUGGAUAAGCCUAAAUUCAUUUUGAUAAAAUAUUAUGUCAACAUGGUGGCACCACACUAAAAAUGAUAAGCAUAAUAACUGUGCCAAAAGAAAUGCCCACAUAAUUGUUGAUCCAAUGCACCACGCACCAAAGAAAUUUAUAUGCACAAAUACACAAAUAUGAUGGAUAAGCUCGGAGUGCAGCAUGUGCACCGAGGAAAUUCAGAUUAUAUUACAAAAAGCAUGUCACCUCCAAUCGUACCGCCAGAGCACAAGCAUACAUUUCAAACUGCACUAUUGCGGUUUACCAUACCUCUUUUAUUCUUUGCUUUUGAGAACUCCUUGGCUCUCUCAAGCUCAGCGGCUGCUUUCUUCUCCAGCACCUUUUCUUUCUUCUCGAGCAUAUCAAGUGUCUGGAUAUAAAUAAAGUGAGAUUUUAGAACUUUCUAUGUUACUAUGGCAUAGAAAUUACAUGCGCCAAGUUGGAAGCUAUAACAAAAGCAUAUAGUUCACUAGUUGACUAAACAUACGCAAAGAGUUAAUGGUAAUGAUCCCUUCCUAAUAGUAAUAGGUAGAAUGUUAGAACUUCAGGAGCAAAUAUAGAAAAUCAAAGAAUAGAUGGAGCUUAUGCCACGGGAAGAACUUAAGCAUCCCAUAAGUUGAGAUGAAUUUAACAGCAUGUGAGAGUUCCAAGACACUAAAGUAGAAGGGUGGGAAUUUUUGUCGUGCACAUGCAUGAGGCAUGAUAAGGCAACAAGUGAUGUUAUAUUUUGGUUAAACCUUAUGAUAACAGUUCAAUACAAAAUGAUGGGUGCUCUGAGGUCGCGAAUAUAUUUAGGCAGCCAAAAUAAGAAAACAUCAAUAAAGAAGAACACCUUAAUGGAAUGGAAGUAACACGGUAAUCAUACGCCCGGAAAUAAUAAAUAAAGAAGACAGAAAGGUCACCUCAUUUAACUUGUCCAGAGUAGCCAAAGCAUUGGAGUUGGCCUGCUCCUUGGGCUUCCCGAAGAUCCUAUUGAACAUGGACAUGGCUACAACACUCGCAACAGAAACUCAACAACACCUGCGAUAAUUUUUGCCAAGCAAUCGAAGUUAGAAGGCAUAAUACGUGCACAUACACUUGUAACUAGGUUCAGAUCCGAAUACAAAUAGUAGUAUGUUAGGGUUCGAGCGCGCGGUUUCGCACAGCAGGAAGGGAAGGGAAGACCAAGGAGAGGGCGUCCCUAUGGAUUACGUUAAGGUUUGGGCGCACGGCUUCGCACAGCAGGAAGGGAAAACCGAGGGGAGGGGGCAUACCUGGUGGUGCUCGUCGCCGGCGAAGGUGGCGAAGCCGGGCGGCAGCGACGGCCGGCCCAGUCGUCGUCGGUGGGUGCGGGUUGCGCGCACGCUUGGGAAGUUGGGGGGGCUUGGGGCCUCGUCCGGUGCUGUGGUGGGCUUAGAUGGGCCGCUUGACUGCCCCGUCCGUCCCUCCCUGAGCUGGUCCCUUCUUCGAUGGUAUGAUAGUGAACGGCCCGGAUGCAGCGACUGCAGGGAGACGUCGACACGGCCGACGUCGGGUGAUUUUUUUUUUAUUCCGAAAAUGACAAGGGCGAUGGUUCCAUCUCCGUAGCAAGUAAUCCAGCAGCAUUGAUCACCUGCUUUUAAGCUGCGUUUUCAGUAAUGUUGGCAAUGGAUAAAUCCCCAUCGGGUAUGAACUCCCCAGACCCAUUCCCGUGACAACAAUAUAACACCACGGGUAUCCCCAUAUACAUUGAUGGGUAGGGGAAUUUCCCCAGACCCAUACCCGGGUGGGUAAAUUAGAUCCGGCGGGUCACCCAUACCCGCCAAACAUCAGCAAUUCACAAGCAUCAGUCACGUAGUAGCAAUUCACAAGCAUCGUCACAUAGCUAUUCACAAGCAUCGUCACAUAGCCAUUCACAAGCAUCGUCACAUAGCCACCUCACCAUAUACCUAGCAAAUAGCAACAUAAUAAUUUCUGCUGCAACCACUGGUCACAACACCAUAAUAGUUCAUUGUCCAUACAAAUCACAUAGUAGAGAGUAGUACUUUGCUAGCACUAUAUAGGGUUUCAGUGUAUGGGCUACCGGUGGACUGGUGGCUGGUGGGCUUCUUUAGUUUUGGGUUGGGUAUUUUUCACCCAUGGGUAAAUGGAAAUGGGGACUACUAGAACGUCCCCAUACCCACGUACCCAAUGAGUGAAGGGUUUGCUCCGUUUGUAUACCCAUAGGUACUGGUCUCACUGCAUAUUGGUACCAUAAUAGAGUAAAUACCCAUCGGGUCACGGGCCCCAUUGACAUCUUUAGUUUUCAGGCUGGACCUUGCUCCUCAGAAGCACACCUGGCUGCAGUCCAGGAAAUCAUUGGGACCUGGCAGGGUUCAGACAGCUAUAUAUGUCGCUUGCUACCGUCAUCGCCAAAACAUUGUAUUUUCAUAGUACAGGCGUGUGCUUUGUGGUGUCUGUGUGUUUGUGUGCUGGUCUGUAAUUUUCAAAUCUCUUUCUUCUCUUAAUAAAAUACGUACCUCGUGGCACGGUCGAGAAAAAAUAACCUCUGUAAAAACUACAAAGUGCAGCUGGAAAAAAAAAAGUAAGAAAUGCAUUCUGUUAUUACUUCCAUGUAUCACAAGGUCAUAAAUAAAAUGGGCGUCCAUCCAGAAACGCUCAAAGAGCAAGUAAGAAUAAGAUCACCCGCCCACAUCACAGCCAGCCUCAUCUAGGGUCAUUGUUGCAGAACCACGUUAAACUUAAACAUGAAAUGGCACCGUACCUGUUAAAUUCCCAGGACAUGCCUCCUCCCAACUAAUGGAAAACGGGUUAAAAAAAACCGUGGAGGUGCCAAUGCAUUCUUAUUAUAAUUUAUUACAAAAUUGGUUACUUUUGUACGGGCUAACGAUCAAGCAGCAGAGCUCGCGUUGCAUCUAAUUGUUCUCUUGAGCGGUUUUCGCCCCCAAAGAAUUCUUCAAAACACGUAAUUGCCUCCUUUCAUUUACAAUAGCAGUCUCCUAAUGUCACUGAAAUUCAGCGCCAGCUCCGUGAAAAACUUGCCUGCUCCCCAGUACAGUGCAAAAAAAAUGUGAUUAAAUUGUGAAAUAGUACAGUCCAAAAGGGAAUGAAGAGACAAAAACAAAGCAAGAAAUGAGAUGCACACCUCCUACUUGCCCAUCAAAAACACGAUGGUCAGCAGAUAGUGUCAAGCUCAUCUUUGUAACCGCAGCAGCCUUCUCUGUUCCUGUACAAAGUUACAUGAGUUAAAAAAAAUGUGUGCAAUUGUUAUGAGCAGGAAGGCAGUCUGUCAAGAAAAUAUACCAUCGCUGUCCACAACAGGUUCAACAACCUUGUUUCCUCUACCGACUGCGAGAAUGCCAGACUGACAGAAAGAAAUGAAGAAUAGGAAUCGUCAGUACAAUUUCGAAGGAUCCCAUUACUAGGGAAAUAGGGAAGCAAACAUGUGUGAGGAGGGACCUGUGGAGGGUUAAUGAUUGCACAGAAAUGGUCCACAGGGUACAUUCCAAGAUUCGAGAUACUGCAUAAGAACAAGUCAUAAAAUGUUAAAAUAUGGAAUUUCAACGAUGGAAAGAAUUCCCUGAAGAACAAUGGUAAACAGGCACAAGUUGCUUGCCUGAAAGUUCCCCCUUGAAAUUCGUUAGGUGCAAGCUUCCCAGCUCUUGCCUUUUCAGCCAGCUGCUUAACCUGAGUGAUUAUGAAUGACUCAAAAUCAUUGAAAAUAGAAAUUGUUCUACACACAGAAAGGCUGAUUUCUGAUAGAAUUGUAGACCAUAAAACUGUGCAAUUUUAGUGAUUUCUUCUGCGAGCAGCAAACUUGAUGGUUGUCGAUGGCAAGGAGCCAAGAAUUACAUGCUCAAAAACAAAAACUGCCUGAGCAUCCUGGAAUACAAACAUCUGCUGAACUUUGACAACAUUAUCUUACCUCUGAGGAUAUUGCAGAUAUAGUCUUUUGAUCCGCAUUUCUUACUAUUGGGGUCAUCAGGCCCUGGAAUAGCAAAGACCAUCAUCAGGCACUGAAGGUACACUAAUACUCCCUCCGUUCCAAAUUAUAAGUCAUUCCAAGAAUCUUGGAGAGUCAAAGCAUUUUUAAGUUUGACCAAAAAUAUAGAGAGAAAUAUAAAGAUUUAUGUCAUAAAAUAGGUACACUAUGAAAAUAUAACUAACAAAGAAUCUAAUGAUACUUGGUUGGUACCAAAAAUGUUAUUAUUUUGCUAUAUAAAUUUGGUCAAAUUUGAAAAACUUUGAAUGUCCAAGAUUCUUGGAAUGACUUAUAAUUUGGGACGGAGGGAGUAAUUACUUCCAUGGAGUGUGGACUCUAGAAUCAUACCUUCUCUGUAGCAACGGCAAUAGAUAUAUCAACUGAAUCACACUUUUGGGUUUCUUCCUUCUCAUUGUUCCAGUAAGCUGGCAAUAGAUGCAAAUACAUAAAAUCUUCAAAAGUGGAGACUGAAGAGAGCUACACAUACUGGUCUAAACAAGCAAAGCAUACAGAAACCAGCAUGUUUACCGAAUGGUUUCAAUCAAUUCAGCUAUACUACAAAACAAAAGAAAAAAAAAGGGAAAAGAAAGGACACGUAGCUGGCUUUCUAAGUAAACAGGGCAGGGAAAAACUACUACUAGCAUGAUUCUAGUUAGGAUUCGCCAAAACAUGUCAGACAGCAAUAGACAUGGCUGCUUUCCACUAGUACUAUGCUUGCCAAGUGCCAAUAUACAUUUUAACUAUGACUCCUUCUAUAGAAGCUGGAGUAUUCCUAUAGGAGUAGCCAGGACAUGGGUGCUGGACCUGGGGUUCCAAUAAGAUAGCCUAAGGCUUGUACUGUUGUACAAGACAUAAGCUUACAACGAGUCAUGGUCCAACCACUCAAACUGACUCCUCAGUGAACAGAAAGCACAAGCAGGUUGGUAUCUUAUUUUAAUAUAAUGGCACAAAUCCUAGCACCCUGAAAAGAAAAACUCAGCACAGCCCCAUCGUGUCGAUGAUCAAAUUCAGCUUAUGGGAAUUCUAUACCAUAUGUUAGUCUAAUGUAAAACUUGCUUAGAUUCAACAGUUUGAGCUGGAACUAGCUCAUAGUAUUCCACUGCAACAUAUAAAUGUUCAAACUACCAUCUUGGUUGCAAAAUCAGCGUGGGCUGUGCAAUCAAAAUGAGAAUGAAUCAUGGUAUGAGGCAGUCUUGGGAUGCUACUACUGCUAGCUUUCUAAAGAGAACGCUACCAUGUACUUAAGGGUAGCAGUAGCACACAAUUAACUUCCCAAUUUAAGACAGAAAAUCCCUCAAAAGUUCCUCAGAAAGGUCAUUGUGGAAUUCUUAUGUAUACACCAAGCAGGAUUUGUGAUUCAUACAUCUGACAAAUAAAUAAUUCUAGUUCCAUGCCUCAGGAAAAAAAAACAUUGGAAUUUGAUGGUUAUUUUGUUAUUUUGAAAUUACCAUUUGCUUCAGGGACGUUCCGCAAGGCAAUUGCCACAGCCUUUAUGAUGAUAUCAUUUACUGAAACUUUAAUGCCAUGUUGCUCUGCAAUGAAUGAAGUCAUGAGCAAAGAAGACCUUUCGUGUUAUCUUGAAAAUAAAAAAGUUAUUUGAUUACUGAAAAUUAUAUCAGAUAAAAGAAGAUAUAUAACACACCUUUUAGUUCAUUCCUGAAAGCAAGCAAGGGAUCCAGCACAACAUCUGACAACAAUGUAAAACAUAUCAUCGUGCUACAAUAUUAUGAAAAUAACAUGUGCAUGGAAUGAAAUAUGAAUACAAACCUUUGGAUAGAUACAAAUGUGGAGUCGUCUGUUUUGAUUCGAGCAACCUUUUUGCAAUGACCUGCAUGAUAAGAAAAAAUGUUUGCACUGCUGAAACAUGGACCUCAUACAUUAUACUUUAUUCAAGAAAAGGAUUCGUAGAUGAAGAUGAUACAUUAUAACAUUGUAAUGCACAGACCUAACUGAGUUCACUUUUCAUGAAAGACAGUUCUUUACUACUCCCUCCAUCCCAAAUUAUAAGUCAUUCCAAGAAUCUUGGAGAGUCACAACAUCUCAAGUUUGACCAAAUUUAUAUGAUAGGAUAAUAACAUUUAUGACACCAACUAAGUAUCAUUAGAUUCUUCAUUAAUUAUAUUUUCAUAGUAUAUCUAUUUGAUGUCAUAAUUCUUUGUAAUUUUUUCUAUAAUUUUGGUCAAACUUGAGAUACUUUGAUUCUCCAAGAUUCUUGGAAUGACUUGUAUUUGGGAUGGAGGGAGUAGUAGCAAGAUCUACUAGACACAAAAAUGGAUGAUAUUGGCUAUAAACUGGUACAGCACAUUUGCAGAACCCAUCCCCAACGAACAGUUAUAUGUGCUUGAACUCCUAUGACUAGUUCACAGGUUGAAGCUCCUGAUAUUAAUCCAAAAUACUAUGCAAACAAAACAUGAAGUUCAUCAAUAAUCUGUUUCAUUGUGUGAAACUCUCGACCAUGCUACAAUCCAUAUAGCUAGGGACAAGAUCACAAGACAGAGGGAGCUCGUGUGGUCAAUAUUUCUUUCAGUGUCAAAAGAUUCUGUACUUUAACAAACUAUGACUGGAGAAUGAAGCAAGCCUUACAAGGAAAUGAAAGCCAGGUCACACAUCGCACAUAAUCAAAUACAGUGGAAGUGCAUGGGAUGAUGAGUGGAGCCAGUCACUGCAACUUCAAGAAGGGAUAGCACAUCUGCACAUGUGUGGACUAAGGUCCUACUACUUCAAGGUGUCUUGACCCUUGAGCUUAAGGCUGCUUGAAGCUGAAGUGCACAAAGUUAAUUGAGUUCUUUAGCUUUUUAGGAGUUCCUUUUUAUUAAGAUUUCAAAGCAUCCAAAACAAGCUUCUAGGAGAAAUAGACUUCUAGAGGAAACAAAGCCUGCAAAUGAGCAAGGCGUAAAUGUGGGAGCUGAGUUUUAGCCAAUACUGAUGUUUUAAAAGACUCAAUAAAAGCAAAUAUCAUGCAGCACUUGAAAAAAAAACAACUAAACUUAGGGCGUGUUUGGAUAUGUGUGCGUGUUGCGCUCCGCAAGGACAUGAGAAAAUCCCAUCAAAUGACCUUCAGUUGUGCGUUUCCAUGCCACACAAGUGCAAAAGCCCAAGAGGCAAGAAAUUCAACACUUUCCCAAGACUUGCUUCUACAGGGAGAAGCGCUACCCCAAGACAAGUAUCCAAACAGGGCCUAGACUGACCUCAGAUGCUAGUUAUUGAGUUUACCAUGUGCUUAAGGUAACAUAAGAGAAAACGAUCAUAAUAUCUACUGAAAUCAAUAAAGUCAAACACGGUACCUUGCGUAUCUGACUAUUUGGAAUAUCUUCAUAUGUAUCAGCCUUUUGUGAAACAGGGGAUGCUUGAGCUUGGGAAUCUCGAGUUGGCUGAGAUGAAGGUUGAGCUGGAGCUUUCUUUUCUUUGAUUGAACUUGAACUGACACCUGACUUCAAUGCCGCCAGAACAUCCCCUUUCAGAAGGGUGCCACGGGGGCCUGUUGCUCUCAGGGAUGACGUAUCCAGUCCAUGUUCCUUGAUCAGUAACUUAGCUGCUGGGCUGAUCCGGCUCACUGUUGAGGUUUGUUCAGGCACAUUAACUACUUUAUUUUGUGGCACACUUUCUGUUGAAUGCUCCUCCUUUUGUUCACCUCCAAAAGAUGUAUCGGCUGGUAUACUUUUAAUAUCCUCGAGGUCUUCAACCUUACAAAAUGGACAACCAGAACUAAGUACAAAAGAAUCACUAAGAUAUAAAUCAUUACAUUAAAAUGGAUGUUUAUGAAUUAUGAGUUUAUGACAUAACAAACAAUCAAAUCAGUAAUGGAGCUAUACCGUGACAGCAAUGGGUUGUCCAACCUGAACAUCUUUAGAACCUUCAGGUGCUAAAAUCUUGGCCAGAUACCUGAAGCAUUAAAGGGGUAAGGGUAGACACAAAAGGUGUGUGCAGGAUACAAAAACAUUCAUGAUAAGAAAUGAUAAAGUGACACAAGAGAAUGAAGAUUUGAUAAACAUAAAUACACGAAUGUUAUGGGCAGCCAGCUGGGAGCCCACAACACUAAAGGAAAAAAAAAUGAAACCAUUAUUAUUUGAUCUAGCAGUGCCAGUUUCCAGUUAUUUAAAAACUUCCACUUUUUUAUGUCAUUACCCAUAAUGGUAGAAUAAUUAAAUAGACUUAAAGUUGCAAAAGAUCACCAGAGUAUCUUUCCACGCAUUUUAUGGACCAUGCAUGUUAUACAGCUUAGGUCAGUCUGCCAUCAACACAGUCCAUGUGCAAUGGAAAAGGUAAUCAGGUGAAACAAAGAAGAAUGCAUAAUUGCAUAUUACGCUCAGUUUGACUUGGAACAAUAGAUUGAUAAAGAUUGUCUGAUGGGUAAAUAAAUAAAUAAGGUUUAAAUAAGUUAAUUCCGCUAGUGAAUCCUUUCAUAUGAAGAAAUGUACCAGUAGGUUACCAUAACACAAAAUAUGGUGUUAACUUUGGAACUAAAUAUAAUGAAUGGGUUUCAUUAAAUUUUGGUGAGAAUAUGUUCCUGGAGCAUUAUCAUGUGCUCCGUCCAUGAAUGGGGGGUUCUAAUGAAAAGAACUAGCAACUAUUCAUGAGAUUACAACAUCAUGAUAGAAAAUGUAAACUUGCGAAUGUAACAUCACAACAAUCAAAGUAACUGAAUCAUUACUAAUAAAAUCUUAGAAAAAAUCGUCAAGGGCAUUACCCCUCUUCAAGGCUUUCAAACUCAAGAGUGGCUUUAUCAGUUUCUAUCUCACAUAUCACAUCACCAACCUCUAUCUGCAAAGAACAUAAAGUUUAAUGAUGCUGUUCUCAGAACUAAAUAAAACACAUUAAAUGAGAAAAGUAGGAAACCCUAAGCUGAAAAUAGGAUAUUCUUAUUGAAUCAAAAAAUAACAGUUAGCAGAAGCAUAACCUUGUCUCCUUCCUGUUUUCUCCAUUUCGCGAUGUUACCUUGAUUCUAAUGAAAACUGUGUCAGAGUACCAAAUAUGCAGAAUACAAAAGACACUAAGCAAACAACAUGUAUUAAUGUCUUACUAAGAUAAAUGUUUUACCAUAGUAGGGGAUAGUGCUGGCAUUCCAACCACCAGAUGUGGAGGAAGCCCUGCAAAAAAAGAUAAAACAAAUUAAUGGAAGGUAGUUUAUAAAAAUAAUAUUGCAGUAUAACCGAUAUGCGCUAACAGAAUAUACAGAUACAUGUUUUAAAUGAUAAUUUAGUUGUAAUAAUAUGAAAAAAAAUGCAAGUAAUGAGGUACAAAUGGAUGUGAUUCAUCAGCACAAUAUGUUCACAGAACAAGAUCUUGCUUAGGACAUUUCUCUUGAAUCGGUUAAUUUUGUACAAACCAAUUGUUACUGCAGAAAAUCACACAAUACUGCAUAAUGACAUAGGUGAGCACAUGAGGUUCUUUCCUUGUUGAGUAUAUUACAUUGCAGAACAAAAGGAACAUAGUUAAACAAUAUAUAACUUGACCAAGUCCACGAGAUUUAAGCUAGCAAUUUAAAUACACAUUUUCUGUUGAUGCCAACCAGGGGUAGAUAAAUUCAAAGACUUGCACAACAUCAAAGGUACAGAAUAAAGUCCAUAAGUUAUGGAAUAAUUUUCUGUUUAUUUGUCUAUGUCAAAUUAACACUGUGAGAUGGUUAUACCUGCAGAUGAGAACCAGUGGGCUGGCAUGGGGAUCUGCAAUAAGGACGCAGUAUCAGGAUGCAGUUAGCAAUUUUAUAAUGGAUGAAAAGUUUUAGUAUUUUGGGCCCACCUUGUAAUGUGCGCCCAGAGAUGCUAGAAGUGAUGGCCUGGAAAGAAAUCAUACUUCAGAAAAAAAAAAAAUAUAUAUAUAUAUAUACUUCACAAAACCUUAUUCCAACAAUCUUCAAUUGCAAGUAAAUAAACUACACAAGUGUUGGUCGACGUUCACGAUUUAUGAAUUUAGCAGUUAACCUUACAGUUAAAAUUGGUGGCAUCAUAAGUCCAUGGAGUGACAAACAACUAACACGACAGUAGAAAACCGAACAAUCCCUUGAGGUAUAAAGUCUACAAUGAUGUACCUCGUGGACGCACAUCUGCCCACCUCUGCUAAGGAACCCCUUGCCCGCGACAAGCUGUGGCCAAUCAACAUUACAUGGUCAAAUAGCUGUCUCGAAAAGCAUCAAAAUCUGCACAAAUUCGUCGGCAGCGUCGAUCAUCUAAAAUCUUACCCGACCAGAAGUGCACGUAUGUUUGCCAUCUUCCCAAGCAAAACCGCCGCAGCAAAUGAUCCCUGGUACAGGAUACGCAGAAUGUGUCACAAAACAAAAGGGGCAGCAAAGAGGGGUGGAAUUCAGUUGGGCACGAAAAAUAUUCUACAAUCUCCGACAGGGCCACGCAUGGAUGGGCGGAUUCACCGGCGGAGCCAAGGCCCGGCCACCCUGGGCAGUUGGCCGGGCUCCCACGGUACAGCAGAGGCGGGAGAGGCGAGGGAGGUGCGUACGCAGGGUCGCCGGCCGGUGCGCGGAGGACGGAGGCGAGGGCCCGAGGAUUGGCGAGCACAGAGACUACGGUGCCACAUAAAUCCAAAACAAUAAAUCUAAAUGGAGAGGAAGGAGAUUUGACCGGGAACAGAACCAAUCUCGUGCUUCCAACAAAUGAAUCCGUCCCCAUUCAACCGAGCCAGGACUACCAGGAAGGAAGAGAUCGCUACUCACCGGGACGGACGGAUCUCCAAGCCCGCUCGAGCGAGAGAGGAGCAGCAGCCGUCGGCCGGAGGAGAGGAGAAGGACUACGGCGGGGCGGAAGCCGGGCGAAAGGAGGAUUCGGCGGCGCCGGGUUAGAUGCCCACCACCAGCGCGGACGAAGACGAGCAGGGGGAAGGGAACCCGCAGCCGCAGGGAAGGCAGGUAAGGGCUGUCAACGAGCCGAGCUCGAGCGAGUAGCCGAGCCGCUGGGGAUACCGGUGUUAAACCUGACCUGAGUACCUGACACGUAGGGUCUCCUGACACAGUGACACCAUCACGCAGCUACUCAUCACCAAUUAGGAGACUAUAAACAUAAGCUAAUUAUAAAACUAAUUACAUAAGUUUUAAUUAAUCUGUGAGACGGAUCUAUUAAGUCAAAUUAAUCUAUAAUUAGCUCAUGUGAUGUUAUGUAAAUAUUUAUUAAUUAUAAAUUAAUUAGAACUUGAUAGAUUCGUCUUGUGAAUUAACCAUAAUUUAUGCAGUUUUAUAGUUAACUUAUAUUUAGUUUUUCUAAUUGGUACUAUACCUUAUAAGACUAUCUCCAACAAUCGUCACCCAAAAUACAAGACUCAUUUGUCCUUUGGGUAGCGCUACAGGUAAAAGGUUCCAUACCUAUUUUUAGUCUUCUCCAACAACAAGACCUAAAAGACAACACUCUCUGCAAAUGGGUCUCGAGAAGAGAGGAUACCCAAAUUUGGGUUAUGCCUCUCCUGAUACCCAAAAUAGGUCUUCUGUAUGGGUACUCUGUUGUAGGCUAUAGGUAUUGUGUUGGAGACCCAUUUUAGAUUUUUAGAUUUGGGUUCCAAAUGGGUGUCGCUGUUGGAGAUAGCCUAAACAUCCGAAAGCUACAAACUUUAGUUCGGGUUCCCAACAACCCUCUCGGCGAGUCGGGCUUGGAUCGAGCCUGCACGAGCCGAGCACCAAGGAGCUCACAAGCUUCGAGCCAUUUCUUUAUAGCGCCAAGCAAAGAAGCAGGUUUGGUUGUUGGUCGACGACCGGUGGCUGCGAAAGUUGCGGAUGGCGCGAUCCUCACCGUCCACUACCAACACACGUACACGAUCUCUGAGCUUGACGUCUGGGAUCCCUCGCCUCUCAGUUCGCCAUUCGCCGUCUCACCACGAGCGACAAAUUUGCAGUUAAAAAGAAAUCCAAAGUCAACGCAUGAAUUCAAUUCGUUUUUGGCCUUGGCCUUGUACGGUGAUAUGAAUAUCUCUUUCAAGAUAUACAAAAGCACUUUUUCUUUGGUUAGAGGGAAACGACCGUAACGUACGAGUCCAAGGAGUUCAAAUUUCUAUUUGGACACGUGGAAAUUCAAAGAGGUAAUUGGGGCUUGGAAAUAUCAUUAGGGUAUUUAUAGUGCAGAAAUCAUGAUAGUUUCUAUAGAUAUUAAUUGCACUACUAUAGGCCCGUACAUAGGGCAGUGCAAGUGGAGCGAUGUCACAAGGCCCCCAAAACAUUAGGGGCCCAAAUUUUACUCAAGUGUAUAUAUAUAUUCUUAAUUCCAUUAAUACAAAUUAGCUAUUGUAACUCUUAGUAUAUACGUGUAGUGUUUUAUGUCAUAAGAACAAAAGGCCUAAGAAGACGCAUUAGAAGAGAAGGAAAGAAUACUCGCAUAUAUGAUGUAAGUCUUAAUGAGGUCACAAAUUAAUUACUAAUUUCUCUCAUAGUAUAUCAUAUAUGGCAAAUGUUUUGACAUUAUAUUAGAAUGUACUCCUAAAUAUAAAUCCAAUAUAACCACAUUUGUCGUAGAACUUUUCAUACAACUAGGCUAAUUAUUGACCAAACAUAUCAAAGUUCAAAUCUCAAAAAAUGUGCAGCUUAUAUUUUUUAGACAUUUUAUAUGUGCCCUUUUUAAGUUUUGCACCAGAGCCUCAAAUUCUUAGGUACGGCCCUGCACUACUACAUAGGCAAAUUGUUGAUAUGGCAACUGAUUUAAUAAGGAGAGAAAAAAUUCAAGAAACCAGAACUAACUAAGAAAAUUGGGUCUUCACGCUUAUCGAUGGAUACGAAACUACUCGUAACCUAUUGAGAGAACAAACAUGGUUCUGCACUACUUUAUGUCCUAUAUUUUAUAAAAUCUUAUGCUGAAAAGAUUAGUUUCUUAGUAUAAUGUCUUAGGCUAUAGAAACAGUUAGUAGUUUCUUGUAUUAGGAGUGUCCUUAAGAUAUUUUUAAAACAAAACACUAGAAUAAGACAAACAUGGGAAUGAAAUAUGCUAACACUUUCAACCCUACAAGAUUUCAAAGCAGAGGAAAGUUUAUGAAUAUGGCUUUAGAAGCAAUGUGGAAGAGCAUAGGUAUAUGCUAACACUCUCACAUGAUAAAAUUUAGCUCAUGUUUCGUUUCCUCCAAAAUUCUUUUUAGAAUAGCCCAAUGCAUAGGAAUGUCAAAGGAAUUUUUUGAUAACAUUCAUUUGUUCCAAAUAAGUUUAUACUUUAUAGAAAUAUUUCUUAUAGAUAAUUGAUAUAUAUAUAUAUAUAUACUCCAUUGUAGUAUAUGGAUUGAAACAUAUACAUCAAUCUAAUCUAGUAUUUGAAUACGUACAUACAUGAAUGCAUGUGCAGUCAGUGGAAGGCUAGAACGUCUUGCAGUGCUCUUCCGCACUUGCACGUCAUGUGCAUAGUGAACCAUGACUAGGGCCACGGCCGCCCUAGGCCUGGGUCCGCCAAUGGCUACCAACUCAGAUAGGACCAGAAAACUAAUCAUCAUAUGCUUUUUGUUGCUAUGUGAAUCUUGCAUUAUGUAUUUAAGUAUGAACUCAACGACAAUUCAGACAUGUUCAGAUCUCAAAUUUUUGUACCAAAGGGUGAAGCUCUUAGUUAAGAGGGCGAAGCUGUUAGUAUGAUAAGAUUUGGCACUUGUCAUACCUUAUUUUUCCAAUGAUUUCCUCAUCUAAAUUACCUAGAUGGAGUUUGUCUCACCCGACUGAAGAGCAGCGAUUCGGGGACCGUUACGUGAACCUAGGUUGCUGUUGAUGUUGGCCUGUUGGGCUUAGUUGUCAAUAAGUGAAAAUGUAUGGCCAUAUGGGUCUCUUCCUUGUCUGUGUAGGGAUGAAAAAGGACAAAAAACCCUCAACUAUUUUGCACUUCAACAUUUGAAUAGAAAACGAAAGCGAAAGUAAUAAAGCUGGAUGCAAAAAUAAACAUGAACUUACGAAAUAUCGAGGAUUUUAAAAAUGAACCGAUUCAAGCGGAAUUAUAUCGAACACGGUUUGCAUACGAAAAAUCAACACGAAAUAUUAAUCCUAAGGCCAAGUGCAUAACAAUUAACAAGUGUUAUAACUUUCAUAUAGAAGUAUCUCUAUUUGACACCAUAUAAGAAUGAUAUGAUUUUUCCCACACGACAUUGUACGUGAUUAAUAUACUGCUCAAACUUUAUUUAUUUAUUUUUAACAUCUUAACCACCUCAAAUGAAAAAACUCAAAACUAGAAAGUCAUAGAUCUCGUCAAGAUUGUAAUCAUAUAAAGAUCAUCUUUAUCUGAGAUUGUAUAAAAAACUAUAAUUUUUUUUAAAGUUGGACUUCUAGUGGGCCAAAAACGGUUUAAAUUGUAUUUAGAAAACUAGAUAUUCCAAAUAAAUAGUAGAAAAAUAGAAAACGGUCAGAAAAAACCUAAACCUUUUUAUUCCAUUUUAGAAUUUGGCAUUCCAUAUUUCAAACUGAAUUUGAAUGUGUCCAAAAAUACAAAUUCGAUUAGGUUAAAUAUAAAAAAUACGAAUAUAUCGCCUUCUGAUCCCUCGAGAUAGAGGACUAAUUGGACCAGGCCAACCAACAACAAUAACAUCAAGAUGCAACCAACAGCAAUGACAUCAAGUUGCAAGCGCAAAUUUUAGGACAGAUCGUCACUUAAGUGCCCACCCCGUCUUGCGCAAUAUACCAAGGAACUUGGACAUUAAUUAACGAUAACAUGAAGAAAAUUUGAUGUACAAUCCAACGAUACACAGACGGUCUGAAGUUACUGCUAUCAUCAGACCUCCUUAAGGUCAGUCUCAAUAUAUAGUAUGACAUUGCCAAGUUAAUAAUUUUGUUUAUGUGACAUCUUAUUUAAUGUGUAUGAUAUUCUUAUGAAACAUGCAUUGAGACUGGCCUUAACUCGGUGUUUGAGUUAAUACAAAUGUUAGUUGGUUUCGGUGGUUAGCUUAUUAUAUCUGUUUUAUUUACGAUAAUCGCUAUCGUUGCUACACCCGAUGGGUUGCUGUGUUCACUCACUGAAGUAUGGGUGAAGUCUCUGGUUCAACUUUCAAGUCCAGGGUGGCCCACAACGCAACCGAAAAAGAAUGGAAAAAACAUCCUACUCUUUCAUGCACAUUGCCUAGUCUGGGUUUUUUCUUCUUUUCAAUAUGUAUAUAAAGAAAUCAGUAGAUCGUUUAAACAACAACAAUAAUAAUCACAGCUAAAACCAGUUUCAUCCGUUGGUAUCCUUUUUGCCGAGCUUCUGACCUAUAUGGGCUUUAUAUUAACAAUGAACGGCGUCAGAAUGCUAAAUCCUGAAAACCAUGAGAUAGAAGGGCGAACGGUUCAGCAUCGAGUACAACAUGCUAGUGUUCAUUUUUCCCUCCUGAAUCCCCAAAUUCUCCUUUUCUGAGCCUUAUUAUCUUCAAGCAACCUGAAAUAAAAGGAAAUUUUGAGAUGAAAGUUUAAGGUUUUAAAUCCUGACAAAAGUGUUUGUUUUUAUGUAGAAGCCCUUCCUCUUAGUAUAUUUAAUUCCUUAUGAGACACUCUUUUGAGUGUCUUUCAAAAAAAAAUGGAAAACUUAUGAGGACCUGUUUUAGUAACUAGUUUCACUAAUGAGGAUAAAUUAAUUUUAAGUGUGAACAAGAUACUGCCAGAAAUAGAUGCAGCUCAAGCUCAAGUGCGCAAUAAUUUGGCCAAAUUAUUUGGGGAAGUAUUCGACAAAGGAACAAACAUGUUUCCUGUCUCAGAGACAGACAUUGGAAAGUGAAGCUGCAAAACUAUUAAAAGUACCAGAUGGCCAAGCCUAAAAAGUACCUAUUAUCAGAGCAACUCCAACAGCUUUGCUAUUCUUAUUAUGAAGGCUUUUUAGAACUUGUAUAGUAAAAAAAUAGGCUCCAACAGAUGUGCUAUUUGGUUUUGUAAAAUAGAAAGUUUGCUAUUUCUUGAUUUUCGUUGGCCAUAUAUAGCCAACCACUGACAUUAGCUAUCUGAUAGCAAGGCUGUUGUAGGCCUCUUCUUUUUUAGGAAGUUUUCUAUUUUACAAAAUGGCUAAACAUUAGAAUUUAGCUACUAAUUUUAGCCAAGCUUUUGGAGAUGCUCUCGAGGGCAGGUGGAGCGGCAACAUUCAAUUACGUAGAUAUGUGUAAAACUAGCGGUCAUAAAAUCUUAUCAUCUUCCACAUUGCAGCUUUUUCAGAUGACUCAUUACUGUAGGGCCAUAAUUUCAAGAAUAAUGCACAAUGCUGCUAGAGACUUCACCCCACAAAAUUGUUGUUGAUGUCAAAAACUUGAUCUUGCAAAAAAUAUUGCCUGGUACUCAACUCCCAUUUAUGCCCCCCCCCCCCCCCCUCUUUUGCAAUAGUGUAGGCAAAAAGGGCUGACUGUGCUACUAUCCAUACUAGUACAACACAAUUUUUUUUUACAAAAUGUGAACAGUAACACUUUCGUUUGUAUUUGACAAAUAUUGUCCAGGCUAACUAGGCUCCAAAGAUUUGUCUCGCAAAUUACAUGCAAACUGUGUAAUUAGUUAGUUUUUUAUUUAUAUUUAAUGCUCCAUGCAUGUGCCACAAGAUUCGAUGUGACGGGGAAUCUGAAACAUUUUGCAAAAUAUUUGGGGAGGUAAACAAGGCUGCAUGCUACAAUUCAUAUGUAUGAGCUUGGACAAUUCCGUGGCCUUAAUUCUAGGGUCUCCAAUAAGUCAGCAUGCUACAGCCAAUUAGAGUACGCAUAGGAUACCAGGAUCACCUUGUGCUCCCACGAAGGUAUGACCCAAAAUCUAGUAGUAAAAACACAUCAAUAGAUAUGUUCUGAGAAAAAAAAAACAUCUUUGUUUUUCCUUUUUGAUCUACAAACCUGCAACAAGUGUAUUACUAAGUUACACCCAUUUGCAUCUCUGCAAAAUGAUCUACGAAGAUUGACAUUCAAAAAUCAAAAUGGGCAUGAAGUCAAGGCAAAAUUCAUCAUCCAGAUUCUCCUUAAACGAUUUGUGGCAUGUUAAGGAGCCUUUCUUUUUGGCCUAUAAACUCACUAGAGCAAGUGUUAUGCAGAGUUACACCUGUGUGCAGCUCUAAAAAAUGAUUUAUGAAUAUCAAACAUUCAAAAUGAACAGCCGAACCAAUACUUGUACAUUUCCUAAUGUAAACAAAAAACUUCCAACAUAUUAUGCCACUUGUUAACUCAAUCAUAUCGUUCGAACAUGCCAACAUCACAUAAAUUUCACCAGGAUACAAGUCCUACUUCUAACUCUCUCUUUUUUUUUAAAAAAAAAUGCAAUGACAAGAGCGCUGCCUUUCAUCAAUUAAGGAGGGGAGCAAAAGAGUUUAUAUACAAGAUCAAUUUAAUUUAAUUACCUGCGAUUGAACAACAAAUUUCACCAGAGUCAGAGUACAAGUCUUUUUUGCUCAACUGUAGUGGUCAUAUUGCCAAAUAUCGUGCCCCUUAACAAUAACCGACAACAUCAAAGAGGAAAGGGGGUCUGGGAGUCAUCAAUUUGCAGGUGCAAAAUGAUGCUCUCCUUCUCAAACAUCUCCACAAGUUCUAUAGCAAAGUUGAUGUUCCCUGGGUCAAUCUCAUUUGGAGCAAGUAUUAUUCCAACAAGGUGCCGCACGCCACCAGAGAGGUUGGCUCGUUCUGGUGGAAGGAUGUACAAAGGUUGAGCACAAUUUUCAGGAAUAUUGCCCGAUGCAACAUAGGUGAUGGCACGACCGUAACCCUUUGGCAUGAUCUCUAGUCAGGUGACGCUUUAGCACUGCGUUUCCCCAGACUAUUCUCUUUUGCCAGAAAUCCUAACAUCAGUGUCAGUGAAGCUAUGUCGGCCGAAGAUUUAGAUACUUUAUUUGCGUUGCCCCUCUCACAAGAGGCGUUUGAAGAACUUGAACUACUCGGUGAAUUGCAGUCACAGACCUUAGAUGAAGAGAGUAGAGAUACCUGGAUAUAUCAGUGGAGCAACGCAACAUAUUCUUCGAGCAGAGUAUACAAACUAGCCUUCCAAAACCUUCCAGAGCACCCAGUCUUCACUUGGCUAUGGAAAUCGAAAUGCACUCCACGAGUUAAAGUUUUUGCCUGGCUGGUUUUAGUUGACAGAUUGAACGCUAAAACAAUGCUCCAGAGAAGGAAUCUGUAUGCAGAAAAUAAUGCAUACUGCAUCUUAUGUAACAGCAGGAUUGAUGAGGACCUGGAUCACCUAUUCUUUGACUGUCCUUUCUCUAAGAGUUGUUGGGAUAAGAUUGGUAUGCAGUGGAACACGGGCCUCAGUUUGUACCCCAGGCUGGCACACGCGAGACAACAGCAAAACAUCUCGUUCUUUAUGGAAGUAGUGGUCAUUGCCUCCUGGGAGAUAUGGAAGCUAAGAAAUGAUAAAGUGUUCAAUAAUGGCCCAGUCCACAUUGACAUUUGGUUCAGAAAUUUCAAAAAUCAGUGCCUCCUUCAAUCCCUUCGGUUCAAGGAAGAUCUUAGAUCAGCCUUUUGUUUUUGGCUAGAUGCAUUUAGUUAAAUUCUUGUUAUAUGUUUGUGCUCUUUUUUACAAAAUUUAUAAAAUGAAGUGCUGUGGGGAUUUCCCCCACAGUUUUUGCCUUCAAAAAAUAACCGACAACAUAUGAAACUAUAACAGAUUGCUUUGACGCUAUUCAAUUCAAGCUGACAACGCAAUGGAAAGCCCAUCCCUUCCCUCAAAAGAGAAAAGCAAAGUCCACUCAAUUUCGAUGAAGUAGUCAGAUACAGAUUUGUGUACAUUCAGAUGAACAUCCGGACUCCAGCCACAAACUAGGAUAACAAAACAACACAAGCCAAUCUGCAGUGCAGACACCGAUGGGAUACGUAUUUAUGAAACUGAAAAGCGUAGGGCAACCCCGCAACGGUGUACCUCAAUCGACGUGUUGGUGAAUGUCGUCCCCGUCGUCGUCUUCCUCCUCAUCCGACGAAGAAGAGGAAGAGGAGGAGGACGAGUAAGCGAAAGGUUGCGGCAAAAGCUCGGGGGGCCGGAGGACGAGGAAGCGGCGGCCGCGGCGGAGGUGGAGCGGGGCGCGGCGGGCGGGCCCGGGAAGGAAGGGGACGCAGAGGAAGGCGGCGAGGCGCGCGAGGAGGUGGAGCGGCGCGCAGCAGAUGAGCGCGAGGACGCGGUCGGGCGGCAGCGUCUCCGGGUUGCACGCCACGCGCUGCCACGCCGCCGCCGAGCCCCGCGCCACCCACACCACCCACCCCGGCCGCACCGUCAUGAAUUGGAACCCCCCAAUUCAGCGAUUCGCCUUCGCGUGCGCCGGGAGCGGAGAACGGAAGGGGAUGGGAGGGGAGGCGCGCACGGCACGAAGGCGGGCGCCCCCGUCCGCCUGCCGCGUGGAUCUCGCCGCCGGGUUUGGGUUUGGCGGUUUGCUGCUGUGGAUUCGCUGUUGGAUUCAUUCAUAGCCGGCUCUAGCUUUAUCUACUCGGCUGUAUACGUGGACAAGGCAGCUGACUCAGCGGCUGCUGUGGAGCUCGCCCGAGCGGAACAUUUCUGCUGCGAGUUGAACGCUCGGGCUCGCUCUCGCAUCGCAUCUCCGCAGCGGAUCCGACAUCCGAUUCGCAUUUGGGUAGGCAAUUCGCAAUUCAGAGAUCAGCCUAGCUGGCUACUAGGUUGCAGAUUUGGGCGGAUCCGAUCCGUCGAGGCAUUUCCGGGGCUGGGACUGGCUCGCAGCAUGCGUCCGCGCUUGGGUGGAUGUGGAUGUAUACAAGCAACCAAACAAAAGGUUGCUCUGCAUCUAUUCACGCCCGUACGUGGACCUGUAUGGCUGGGACAAGACAGGCUGUAUAGGGAAGGUCGGAAGGAAAUCAAGCUUCACGAUCAAAGAACACUGCGAUAGCUACCCAGCAGCUGCUGAAGAUUUCACAAGUUAAUAAUAGUCGAAGGCAAAUUUGCUCCCAUUAAUCAGACGGGAAAAACAACAUCUACAGCCCAUGGUCAAUGCACCAUUGCAUGAACAAGUAAAAUGGAACUUUGGUUGGAACAAAAGAAAAACAGUUUCAUCCACUGCAUUUUAUUUCAUGCAUUCUGAUUUUGCCGUAAAGAGAAGACUUGCGACCAUGUCUAUCAGCACUUUAGGGAAGUGUUCUCUGGUAGAGUGGAAGGGCUCCCAGUGCUUCACGCUCGGCGUUUUCCUUUUUCACCUGCAAAAAAUGCGAGAUGUCAAACAACAGCCACUUCUCAUAUGGAUUCAGACAAAAUAAAAAUGGGAAAGAACUUUGCUGCUUAAGUUUAAAUCAAGAACUUUGCAGCAUAGUGCCAAUCAACAGCUUGAGCUAAGGAGUUUCUUAAGCAGUGACACACAUCCAAUCGCAUGUCUGCAGUAAAAAUUCUACUCAUGUUAAGUUGCAAUGCUGUUUACAAAAGGGUUACUUUACAUUGUAUUAGAAGCACACCAUAUAUAAGUUGUCCAAGAAUUUGUAAAACCUACGGUUUCUAUCUUGCACUGAAUAUUGGUUUGCCAAAGUAAAAUAGCAUCAAUAUGAUAGUGACCUACGAUUAGACCCUAGGGAAAUAACAGUAAGAGAAGUAAAGGCCAUGGAGCCACACAAGAACAAGUCCUGAUAUUUAGGCUGAGUUGAAGUUUACCAUUAGAUGCCACAUGAUAUGAUAAUGAUUAAUGAACUACCAAAGCACUAUAUUGCAAUGCGCAUUUUCCCUAAUUCUAACAUGUCUACCCCUACUUAAAUGCAAACUAAUCAAUUCAGUAGACUUGUCAGUUGUACCCAUAUUAAAUCUAGCAACGACUGAUAAGCAAUACACUCCCAACCUCAAUUCUUAUAAUGUAGAUUAUCUCCCUUGUACGCAUGAAAAAGAGGGAGUGCAGUGACUCUAAUGCAAAGGCAUGUGAAAUGCCAAUGGCAUGAAGUAAAAGGAUUCUUACCAGAGCCAACAUGUCACUCAAAUAUCCUCUGAAUGGAACCUGCUGUGCCUGUACAAAAAAGGUAAAUGUUUCACAAUGUGUUUACAAGACUAUAUUAAACAAUAUUUUAUAAUACUGUAAGCAUUACAUGAUGUGAAAAGAGUAACCAAACACAAAACUCAAAUCCAUAGAGAAGAAAAUUCAAAAACACGUACUCACUCCAUUCCAAAUUAUAAGACAUUUCGGCUUUUCUAGGUUUAUAGCUUUUGCUAUGCACUUAGAUAUACCAUAUGUCUUGAUACAUAGUAAAAGCAAUGUAUCUAAAAAAUUUAAAAUGUCUUAUAGUUUGGAACAGAGGGAAUAGUUGAUAACGAUAUGAUUUCACACAAUGGAAAUUCAUAUUUUAAACUUUUAAGUGAACUAAAGACUGUACAUACUACUUCUAUUUUAAAGUGUUGGCAUUUUAUCUUUGUCCUAAGUCAAACGUCUCUCAUUUUGACCAAUCUAUAAUACCAAAGAAACAUACUAUCAAGACAUUUCAUGGUGGAAUCAGUGAAACUAAGCCCAUGCUGUACAUGUUGGCCCAUUUUUAUAUAUAAACUUGGUCAAAGUUAAAGAAAUAUGACAUAGAACAACAAAAUUCAGAUUUAGCAUUCAUCUAAACAACUAAUUGGAACAUCUUCAAGGCAAAACGUAGGACGAGCACAGACAUUAAUCUAAAUAAACAAAAAGAAAUUAUCAGUAGAAAAUGGUGCACUGAAUUAAAAAACUGCAUAAAAUGCCUGAAAUAACCGAAACAAACUUGCUCCUAGCCAAUGUCUACAUUUGGAGACUUCAUAUAUAAAGACAGGCUCAUCCAUAAAAAAUCCUUGAAUCAAAUCUGCCCAUCAGGCUGAAGGCAAAUGCUACCCUAACAAAAGAAUCCUGGAAUCAAUCUGCACCAGCAUGAAGGCAAAUGCUCUCCUAAAUUAAAUUCCUAAAAGCAACAGCGUCAUGGCCCUAAUGCUUACUUCAAUCUCAUCUCUCACCGAAACUUAGUUGAAGUGUUCCACCCUAUUCAGAAUCAUUGGCCUCCUCUGAAACUUCAGGCAAGUAGAACCGUAUGAAUCACAGGUACAACCCAAACACAUCAGCAGAAACAUUUCACUUGACAUGCAAUCAUCCGAAACAUUACACCGAUAAUGAGCCACGUCAGGAGUAGUUUUCAGUAGUGCGACCUAGAACCUACCUAAUGCAGCCUCGGACGCUACCGUCACCACAACCACGACCAUAAUACGAAUCGAGAGAUCUAGAUCAAGGGGAAAUGAAGGGGCACGAACCUGGACGUGCUCGGGGAGGUACUGGUGCUUCAUGGAGAGGUCCAUGGCGCGCUUGAGGCGCUGGAUGCGGGCGUCGAUCACCUCCCUAGGCAGCCUCCCGAGCGCCUCCUUGAUUUCCACGUCGAAGUAGGGGUCGUACAGGUCGUCGUACCUGAGCCCUGUUGGAUCGAAUCACCGGAUCACACGCACGCAGCAGAUCCGAAACGCACCACCAGUCAGAUCAAGGGAACAGGAAGGAAAAAUGACGAAAUCCAAAGGGAACCCCGCAGAGGAUCAAGGCCAUCUCGGAUCCGGGAUUACCGUAUUUCCUGAGGCGCGAGGAGACGGCGUGCAUGUGGAGGCGCGCGAGCGGGUUGCGGCGCGGGUUCACCAGCCAGUUCGCCAGCGCGUUCAUCAUCGACGACAUGGUGGUCGGCGCCGGGAACCUCUUCCUCGUCUUUUGCGGCGGCGGCGGGACGCGGUUGUCCUUCAGACCUUCAGCCUCCUCGCUUUUGGGGCAGGGAAGAAGCGGAGCGCACCGGUGGGAGUGCGUGGUUGCGUGGACGCGAUCUCGGGCCGGGGCCUUUGGCAACUAAAUGGGCUGGGUACUAAUGGCCGGCCCGCACGGAAGCAUUUGUGGCCUUAUUGGGCUUUCCGUUUCUUUCCUAUCCGUCGUGUUCGGUUUGGAAAUCCUCUGCGGUGACUACGAGCGCAGCGCAGAUGGAGGGUCGCCGCUCUGAUCUCGUGCGCGCCGCUGGCGGCUGGCGAGGAUCCGGUGAGGCAUGCAUUGCUCCCCAGUUUCGGCGAGCGAGGGGCGAGAAGCUGCUGGCACGGAGGCAACGAGUGCAUGGACCGGUGAAAAGAGACCCGAAGAUCCAAAGCACACCUACAACUUGCGGGGAUCUCGGCAACAUUGUACGGGAUGAUACCGGGCGUCCUUGUGGCGAGAUUGUCCACGGACAAGAACAAGAGCAAGAUCAAAUCGAAGGCCUUGACUGGGAUUGCAGGAAGCUCGACAGGGAGAUAGAUGGUUUGCGCCAGUGGAUGGAGGUCUCGUCCUAUGAUGAGGAUUAUGCUUCUGCUCAUGACGAUGAGCUUUGGGUUGAGUACAAUGAGGAGCAGCAGAGACAGCAUUGAACCGACGCCUUGCCCUGUGUCGCAUCAGGGCUCAUGAUGUAAUUUUUUUUGUUAUUAUCAGAGCAUCUGAUGCAGAAUGCCAUGGCAAGAUCAUACAGAGUUAAACUUUGCUUUUGGGGACGUUGAUACAGAAGCAAUACCGGGCUAUGGACGAUGAAAGUCUGUUAAAGAUAUUCACUCCAUCGGUUCUUGAACGCAAUUUGUACUAUCCCCUAAAAAAAUAGUAUACCGUAUACUGAUGUUAGUGUCUGACAACACCACACUAACAUUUCUACAGUAGUACUAGGACACUACUAAUUUGACGUCCAUAAGGCCAAAACUCGCUGGUACAGAGAAUCAAGAACAAUUGCUUACUAAAAAGUUCACGUUGCAGUCAAAUAGUACUACUGACUUUGACAGGAAAAGAAACUCACAAUCAAGGUAGCAAUCAGUACACAAUAACUGCCAUCAGUUGUGAGGUUCUCUCAAAGGUCACCAUCAGAGGCGGCCAUGCAUUUGGCUGCACUUACCGGAAACGCCACAUUGCAUAAGCUUCAAAGAUUAGGCAAGGCAACUAAUCAAGUUGCGCCCAUAUUAAAUUGGUGAAAUGAAUGGGCAUGCACUAACACAACAAACUAGUGAUUAGUGGCAUUCUGUUUAUUAAAGAAAACCAAGCAUCAGCUGGCUUAAUGAAACACCCAAAACUUUCUGUAUGGAAAGGACGCUUACAUUAAUUUCUGCAGGAAGGUUCUGCUUGAAUUUUUAAAGAGUGAAGUGAUCAAGGAUCAAAUCCUUUUUGAAACAAAUCAAGGAUCAAGGAUCAAAUCCUGGCCUGGCCACUUUAAUGGAAAGGAAAAAUAAUAAAUUCUUGGCAGCCCCACUGAAAGAGGGCAAAGAAAGAGAGAAAUUUUAGUGAAGAAUUUUAAGUUUGAUUCAGACAGCACAACAGCAACAGCAAGGCAGCUUUGCAACAAAAUUCAUGACAAGAAAUUUCAUCUAGUUGCAACUGGAGAGUUUUAUGAGGUUGUCAAUAUAUGAGGGUUUUCCACUAUGACAUCCCAUACCCAUAUAAAAACAAUUCAAUGAACAUCACUGCCCACCUAGAAGAUAGUUAACCCAUGGCUUUCUUCGUUUAAUAUUGAUCAUCCCAUUUUCAGAUCACCCACGACUUGCUCGGCAGUUUCAAUGAAUUCCUGUAUGGAGGUGAUGAUGAUAUUUGGCAAUCCUAGGCUGAAAGGGAAACGCUAACUGAAAAAAUAGGAAAUUAGGAAAUACUGAACAUGCAAGUGAUCAAAUAUGAAGUGGCGUUCUUAUCAGUGAAGAAAAAAAUGGUGGCUAAGAGAGGUUCAAUUUAUUGUUGCCGGCUCAAAGAUAAUUGUCUCAUUUAUUGUAUUAUUUUUUCAACAUCAGAGCUGAAGUGGUCCAUCAGUUGGAAAAGCUGUUAAGUUUCAUGGUCCAUUCUCCAUUCUCAGGGUCAAUACGAUCUCAUAUGAAAAGCACUAGACCUGCACCCAACUUAUUGGGUGGGCAAAUUCGGCAAACAGAAGGUAUGCUUAAAACAAGAAGAAAAAUGCUAAAAACAAUCCAAAAAUGCACAAAACAAACUCGUUUGGAGUAUGAUUUAUUUAAAAGUAUUCACAAAACUGAACAGAAUUCCCGUUGACUAGAGUUGCUCCAUCUGGACUUCAGGAUCUUCAUCAGGAUGAUCAACUUGCUGCAGAAGACAAGCACAUUCAGGUGCCCGCAGACACGCACAAAAAAGGGCAGCUAGCAGUGUUACAAAGCCUUGAUGCUCACGUAUUCACGUGUCCUGAUUCCUUAAAACUCCACUUUGAACUUUUCCACAGGUUCAAAGUUAUAUUGAGAUGUACUCUAUUUUUUUUCUCUAUUCAAUAACAGCUGCACUAGAUGACAGUUUAUACACAGGAGAACACAAAGAAGCAACUCAAUGUUAUGUUGAACGCUAUUUAUCACAACAAAUAAACUGUAUCAGAACUGAAAGUAACUCAAAAAUGCACAAAAGGAAGUCACGAAAGAAUCUCUUAGACAGUUAAACUAAGUUGUUUUAUCUCAACUUCAGGAUACUCAUCAGAAUGAUCAUUCAGGUGCCCACAGAUAAGCACAAAAAGGCAGUUAUCAGGGUUACAAACCUUGAUGCCCACGUCUUCACGUGCCUUUAUUCCUUAAAACUCCUAACUUUUUUACAGGUUCAACUCAAAGCUAUGUUAAGAUGUAUUCUAUAAUUUUGCUAUUCAGUGACAAUUGUGAGUGAUCACAAGACAAACAAAAGGAGAACAAACUGUUGGACGUUACUAUCACCAACAAAUAAUCGGAACUUUGAUAUACUUUACAUAAUGACAACAUUCUCUUUCUUCGGCAUGGUCACCGAUUGAACUAUUUGAUCAUUAGAAUUAUCCUCACUCAAGGCACAAGAAGAAGAGUGAGAAAGAACAGAGUGGCAAAGCCACUGGGAUAUCACAUAACUUGCCAACUAUUCAAACAAAGCGUUUAUAGGAGAUGGCAAAACAAAAUCAAAAUAAAAUGAAAGAACAUAUAUUGGAGAGCCUCCAUAGCAUUCUGAUGACCUCAACAAAACGUCUUUUGUUAGCACUAAAGAAAAGGAGGCAGGUGCAGAAGCAAAUUGUGAUCCUGCAAAAAAAACCUAUUCAACCUUCCACGCAUGCAGGAUCAGCGAGAAACCAAGACCUUGCAACUGGGACUCCCUAAAAAUCUGCGAGUAGGACCAUGGCAGCGACUUCUCAGGUGCCUGGCAUGUCUGAAACAUGAACACCGCAUUGCUCGUCGUUGAUCCAAAGAGCCAACUGUGAACAUCCCAGAACACCUCCACAGGCAAGCCAUCAACGAGAAUUGUCUGAUUUCCCCUAAACUUCCACGCCAGGCGCUUCACCUGCAUCACGGGCUUCUUAUCAACUCUUAUUUCAAGACAUGGAUCCUUCAAGCCGACGGUAUCGCACUCUAUGGCAAUGUCAUGGAACUGGCCAUUGUUGCAGAAUUGCGCCUUGGCAGAGUAGAUCUUCUUGCCAUAUAUGUGCUCCUUCCUCGCCACGAACGCGGCAUUCAGCAUCGAUCGGUUGGCUCCAGUCUUCCUGUACGCAUCCUUCUUCAUGUCCCCCAGCAAGAGCACGAGCUCAAGGUCGAACACCACCGCAACAUAGAACCCCUCCACCGGUUCUGGCCCGGCACCGAACUUGGCGCCCGACAGGUCCCAGAAGAUGUCGAUCUUGCCGUCCUCGACGUCGAGGCUCUUGGACCCCUUCUUCUUGGAGAAGAGCCACGGCUUGAUGUCCGCCUUGCAGAGGCAGUGGCCGGACAGGUCGUCGACGCCGAUGCUGAGGCCCUGCCCCAUGAGGCUCUUGCUCCACGUGAGCGAGAUCACGCAGGGCCGGCCCGAGAACUGCGUCUGGUAGAGGCAGGUCACCAGGUUCUGCGCCGCGCCCUUGCCGGCGCUGGACGACGACGACGACGCGUCCGCGAUCUGGACGCCGCUCUCGCCGAAGCAGGAAGGGAAGUCCCUCAUGGCUGGCUUGCACCGGUCGGGGUCCUUCGUCGAACACCUGGCGUGCAGCCGCCCGCCCGCCCGCCGCUUGGAUCACAGCACAGAGCAACGCCCCUCUGCACUCCUCACCGCAGCAGUCCACACCGCCCGGCCAGCCCGCUUCGCAAUGCCGGCGAAGAGAUGACCAGCCGCGAACAGAUCGGCCACGCAGAUACGGAGGCCGCCGUCGGAGACUGCUCGAUCCGGCAAUGCCACCGCCGGCGGACGCGAGAUCCCGCUUUUACUUGCGAAAGGCAGCACCGACACCGCCGGGAAAUCGAGGGGCAGCGGAGGGAAUGGUGUCGGGGCAAAGAUUCCUUCACGGCCCCGCCCCGCUCCUUCCCUUUCCACCGCGAUACGACACAGCGGCGCCGCGUAGGCCACCUUCUUCGCCGCGAAACCCCGGCGACGGAGCGAUCUUCCCACUCCGCCGGGACUCCGUCGAAGGGCAGCUCAGUCUUCCACCUUUAUACCCACAGCAGCGGCAGCGGCGAACCAGAAGCUUUCCCCCAGGCGAGGCGAGGUGAAGGCUUCAGCAAUCAGCGGUAGAUGCAUGGUUGCACACCAUACCCAUGGCCAUGGGAGAGUGGAUUGAGAGGAGCAAGUGGGGAGAACACUGGCAACCACUCCAACCAGUUGUACUACAGGCUAGGCUAGAGAUGAGGGAAGCAAGCACCAAGCAGCCGCAGCAGCAAGGAGCUCAGAAGAAGUAGUGGGGAGGGGUGGAGCUGGUGGUGGUUUGGGAGGGGAAGGAGACAAAAGGUUAGCGAGAGGAGGGGAUACAGUACAACCAUACAAGAUACAGCACGCGCUGGCAGCCAACUCACUGCUCAGCUAGCUCCAUGGUGGAAGAUGGAGGGAGGGAGAGGAGGGCAGGGCAGGAAGCGCUGCAGCCGCUGGCUCUCGCUGUUCCUCAUCAGUCCUCUCUUUCUGUGACUGCUGCCAUGCCAUUGCCCAGUGCCACUGUGACUACCGCGCGCUAGGUACCAGUAGGAUGCUAGGAGUAGUAGGAGAGGGACUGGACUGCCUCUGUGAAUUGUGAUCUGAUGGCCUCUGUGAACUGUGGUUACGAAAAGUGAAAAGUUUUCGGUACUGUAGCACUUUCGUUUGUUUGUGACAAAUAUUAUCCAAUUAUGGACUAACUAGGAUCAAAAGAUUCGUCUUCUGAUUUACAGCUAAACUGUGUAAUUAGUUUUUGUUUUCGUCUAUAUUUAAUGUUUCAUGCACGUGCCACAAGAUUCGAUGUGACGAGGAAUCUUGAAAACUUUUUGGUUUUCAAGGUGAACUAAACAAGGCCUGUGAUCUUGUGCUGCUGCAGAUCAUAUUACUCGCAAAAGAUCUUGAAAUCUGGGACUAUGAACGGCCAGACAAUCAGGAAAAGGAAUGGGUCAAAACACUUGAGCCCAUGCCAUGCUCAAGAAAACUUCAGGCAGACAGACAAACACAAGUGAACAGGUGACAAAUUGCUGUAAAAAGACAGGCUUGUUUUCUCUCGCAAAACCCACAUGGAGGCCCCUUUUUUUUUUCCAGUGGCUAUUAUGUAUGUUGCACCUGCAGGUUGCACAUGGCGUCACUUUCGCUCCCUCUCGAGCUCUUUUCCUGAAAUUUUCUUUGCUCCGGAGAACCGGUUCACAUGCACUACAGUGGAAAAUGACUGGAGUAUGCAAGUACAGGUACACCGUGAGGUGAGACCAUCUCUCGCUGUUGUCUUCUCUAGAAAAUUUAUAGGCAUGCAUGUAUCUGCCUUCACGAUUUUUCAGAAAAAAGAAAAGAAAAUUGCAAGUGAACAAGCAUCGUCUGAUCGUCACUUGCUCCACUUGCUUCCCCCAUGCUUAGCUUUGCUAUGAAUGUUCAAGUGGAAAUGGAGUUUUAAUUUCUUACAUGGAAAAUUUGGGUGACGCGUGCGCUCUCAAUCAUUGCUUCUACAUAUACCAAGUUUUUUUAUACAACACUCGAUGGUUUUGCUGCAUGAUUGAGAAUGUAAACUAUACAGCAUGUCAUUUCAGAAAUAUUCCAUCUAAGCUAUCCUCACCAAUACUAUGAGAAGAGGAUAUUUUUUAGGGGCAGUUUAGCAAGUUGUACUGCUAUGGCCUUUAAUUUUCAGGACGUACUUCCUUUUUAAAAAAAAAUAGAGACAAAUGGUAUACUCCUAGUUCUUUUUUGAUCGGUAGGAGAGCUGUCUGUGUCUUUAGUCUGUACUUUGUCUUCCACAUAUUCAUGGCAUAGAGUUAAUACCUCUGUCGUUAAAAGAUGUACUCCAUCUAUUUCAAAUUAUAAGUCAUUCUAAGAAUUUUGAAGAGUUAAAUAUUUUCAAGUUUAACCAAAAUUAUAGAGAGAAAUACUAAGAUGAGUAUACUAUGAAAAUAUAAUUAAGGAAGAAUCUAAUGAUACUUAGUUGUUAUCAUAAUAAAAAUUAUUUUAUCAUAUAAAUUUGGUCAAAAUUAGAAUAUAUUGACUCUCUAAGAUUCUUAAAAUAACUUACAAUUUGGGAUGAUUUUUUUAGAUCUAAUUAAAGUCAAAUUAUCUUAAAUUUAUAAAAUAGUAUCAACGUAUAUCAUUAUGAAAAUAUAUUUCAGGAUGAAUAUAAUGAUGCUUAGUUACGAAAAUAUCGAUAUCUUUAAUAUAAUUUUGAAUAUAAUGACCUAGCAUUAUUCUAAAAUUAGAUCUUUGGGGAGCAGUCGACAGCAAGAAAAAAAUAAUGAAAAUACAGAUACACAGAGGGUACUGGGACCAUGCAGUGAGGUUUGGGUAACUGUAAUCAAUGAGAAGGACAACGGUUUUCUUGGAUCUGGGCCCAUUUCAUCGCAUCCGUUAACUGCACGCCCACGAGGCCGCAUUUAUUCACCUCCUGGACCUGGAGAUCAUAAUCACCCAGUCUUCACUCUGCUUCGUCUCCAAGCAAAGGUACACAAGAACGACACAGUUUCCUCCUCACAUCACAUUUUUUUUGUUCUAUAAAAGAUGAAUUUUUCACUUCAACACAGGCCUUUUUUAGUUUCCAAAUUUUUUUUGGAAAGUCAACACUAUAGCACUUUCGUUUGUAUUUGACAAAUAUUAUCCAAUAUAAACUAACUAGGCUCAAAAGAUUUGUCUCGUUAAUUCCGACCAAACUAUGCAAUUAGUUUUUAUUUUCGUCUAUAUUUAAUACUUCAUGCAUGUGUCUAAAGAUUCGAUGUGAUAGGAAACAUGAAAAAUUUUACAAAAUUUUUUAGGAACUAAACAAGGCCACAGCUAACUCUCUCAUUGAGAAGUAAGCUCGAUGCAUUGGAGGAGAUGAUAUGAAAAAAGAAAGAUCUGAAUUACAUCCCUAGAAUUUUAACCUCAAACUAUGGCCUUAUUUACUUUCUGAAAAUUUUGCAAAAUUUUGUAAGAUUCUUUGUCAUAUCAAAUCUUACGACAUACGUAUAGAGUAUUAAAUAUAGAUAAAAAAUAACUAAUUGUACAGUUUGACUAUAAUUUAUGGGACGAAUCUUUUGAGCCUAGUUAGUCCAUGAUUGGAUAACAUUCACCAAAUACAAACGAAAAUGCCACGGUGUCCAUUUUGUAAAAUAUUUUGCAACUAAACAAGGCCUAUAUAUUUUCCUACUUUUUUGUUGAAGUAUAUGUAUUUUUGUGGGAAAUAUAUAGAGGGUUAUUGUGUGGGCCCGUGAGCCAUAUAUGCGCAUCCCCUUUAUCUUGCACCUACUUCACAGCUAGAACUAAAGCAAUAACAAAUAAAGAUAGGGAGACACUUCUUGAUUUUAAGGCCAUGUUUAGUUCGCGAAUGAAAAAGUUUCGCGACACGGUAGCACUUUCGUUUGUUUGUGGUAAUUAUUAUCUAAAUAUAGACUAACUAGGCCCAAAAGAUUCGUCUCGUAAAUUUCGACCAAACUGUGUAAUUAGUUUUUAUUUUUGUCUAUAUUUAAUACUCCAUGCAUGCGUCUAAAGAUUCGAUGUGACGGGGAAUUUUGAAAAUAAAUUGCGUUUUGGGUGGAAUUAAACAAGGCCUAAAGUGGAGUAGCUAGCACACUAACACCAUGAGGGUACAAACUUGGUUGUUCAUGGAGAAUAGGGUCCCAUGCAUCUCAGGUUCUCAAUAAAUUACUUGCCUAGCUAGAGCCAACUACCAUAUACUUGGCAUUGGUAGGUGUUGCCGUGCUGCUGCUGUUCAGUUUCCAGUCCUUUGAUUUUUUUUCUUUGACAGAGUGGUUAACAUGAUUUUGUAGACUCAGAUUUGAAAGUAAGUACUUCUCUACUAAUAGUAGAGUCAAAGGUGAAUGCACUUGGAGAUUUUUUUGUGAGUUGGAGUAACCAAUAGGUGGAGUUUGACCUAAGCUUUCUCUUCCAUCUAACUAACCUUUUGCUAACAUGGUAGUAUACCAAUUGAAGGAUGGGAACUACCGUUCAUAAGUUAGUUCCAAAAAUGGAGAAGCUAGCUAGCAAAUAAUCAAGACCUACACCUAUAUAUAGAGAGAUCUCUUCCUAGCUCUUAAUUUGACCAAACACCAAGACAUAUAGCAGCCUCUGUGCUUUGCUACUGCUACGAGGUUGUUUUGAGCAUCUCCAAUAGUUUGAUAAACUAACUUGCUAUCCUAAUUUAUUUGGCAAAACUAAAAAAAACAUCCUCCAACAGUUCCUCAAACGAACUUGAUAUCCCUAGCAACUUGCUAUCCUCCAGCCUCGCACUACCAUAUUUGCGCACUUGGAGAAGACUUGCCAUCGCGAAAUUUUCCGUCGCCCUCGCCUGUCCCACACGACUGCCUCCCGCGCGUGCCAAGUCCUUCCCGUGUUUCUCCCUUGCACGCGCGAUGAAAACCAUGCGGUAUAUAUCCAGAGAAGUCGUCACCGUUUCCUCAUUUUUCAUCACCGCGUCGCCGCCAUCAGUCUUCAUCAUCGCGCGAGUCAUGAGUCAUGCGGCAGCUCCUUUCCUCUUCGCGUCGCCAGGUAUGCCCUGUCCGCGAUCUGCUAGAGGAUCGAUCUGCUAGCCUGAGGUGUCGAACUUGUUGCCAAUCUUGCCAAUAUUCUAGUAUAUUGUUUGCUUCGGCUCAAGACCACCAAUGCAUAGCUAGAUGCAUGGCAUUACCGGUGCAUCAGGUCACAUGCUUGCUUGCUUGUGGCUACAGUCAAUCAUCACCAUGGUAUAGUGUCUAUUCGAUCAGUCAAGGAAGGAAGCGAGCAACAGCUUCUGGUACGACGAGCGUGUCCUUGUCGGCGCCGCAACAGGAGUAGCGUCGCGGUGCAAAGGAACCGGCGGCGGCGUCUUUCACAUACGCGAGGUGUGAGGAUCUUCACGGCGCGAGGAGGAGGCCUAGGGUUGGAUUAGGUACUAUGUGGGAUUAUUUUUAAAAUUUUACCAAAUUGGAAUGACAAACUAUUGGAGAGACAUCUUUUUUCACUUGUCAUAUUAUUUAGCAACUUGCCAAAUCACAAGAUUUGGCAAAUGAUUUUUACCAAAUUAUUGGAGAUGCUGACAUAUAGCUAGCUAGUAGCUAGUGAUCAGUGACUACAUACAAAACGCACGCAAACCUUCAGUUGAUCACUUAUUAGCGAUCGACAUGCACACCAUGUUAGUCCAGGACUACUGUGCUCUUCCAAGUAGAAGCAUGCAUCAUGAUGUCGUCCAUUCUAGCUGGGUGUCACUUUGCUUUCUGACCCUGCUGGCAGUUUUGGCGUGUACGUAUGCCAUCAUGCAUGCCCAUCGCAGGCUUUAUUUGCAUUGCAUUGCCAGGAAAUCUCUGUGCAGAUGGGGAUCGCAGAUAAUGGUAUCCAGAAAAAGUUAAGGGCAGGAGAAUACUCUUAGGAAGAUUGCGGCCGGGCUGGUAGACAUCAUGCAUGCCCUUUUAAUUAGUUUAUUGGCAUAAAAAUUAAAUCCUUCAUCAGAUAGAGAAAUGAUUGGUUCUGGGUAGUAGAUAUGAGCAUUAUAAGGCCUUGUUUAUAUGCGAAAACUUUUUGGAUUUCGCUACUGUAGCAUUUUCGUUUGUUUGUGGCAAAUAUUGUCUAAUCAUAGACUAACUAGGAUCAAAAGAUUCGUCUCGCGAUUUACAGGCAAACUGUGUAAUUAGUUUUUAUUUUCGUUUAUAUUUAAUACUUCAUGUAUGUGCCGCAAGAUUUGAUGUGACAUAGAAUUUUGAAAACUUUUUAGUUUUUGGGUGAACUAAACAAGGCCUAAGUUCACAACAGGCGAUGCUUUCUAAUUUCUCCAGGGCAGAGAAGAACCCAACAAAAUCACACGUACCAUGAGAUUAAUUUUUGCCACCUGUUCAAUUUACUUAUUUAAUUGUUUACAUAAAAAAUCACACUUAGCUUACAGCUAAUUUGUCAGUCUAAGGCAAAAUAGUAUAAGAAUUUGUUAGAAAUUUAGACAUUUUACUGUUUGAUUUAAUCCAGAAAAUUACGCAUAAUAUUGUGGUGGCAUAUAUGUGCACGUGUGCAAUUUUAUCACUACUCAGAUUAGAGACAAACAUUGCAAAUACUACUGCAACAACAACAGACAUACUGAAAACGAAAAACAAUCGUUUAAGAUUGUACCCAGAGGAGGGACCAGUGCCGAAGGCACCGGUGGCUCCAUUCGCACUAGUCGACAUAGUGCGUUGCUCGAAGUAGCGGACCACAGUCGGUGCAGGAAGAUGUUCGCAGUGCAGUCCCACGAACGUCCACCAGGAAGAAGACGAAGUAGUCGAUCUCGAUCCGCGCGAACGUCCACCAGGAAGAAGACCCGCCGGAGUGGAAGAAGACGAUCUCGCCGGUGAGCAGUCGCGGAAGACGCUCCCCAAAAACCUGAUUGCCCGCAACACCCAAGCAGGUGUCUCGAUGCAAGGCGUCGGGUUCCGGAGGCCUGCUCUCCCGAUCUCUGUGCGCGCAAAGGUUCGCCUCCCGAUCUCUGUGGGAAUGGACAGAGUGCAACUCGACAAGAAGAGAGAAGACUGAGUGUGUUCUCGCAGGAAUGGAAGGAGAGAAGACUGAGUGUGUUCUCGCAGGAAUGGAAGGAGUGGGUGCGUAUGGUAUAUAUAGGUCUCAGGAGCGCGGCGGCGGCGCGCGCGUGUGGCACCCCUUCAUCCUCCCUCAACUUCUCCAUAGGGGCUAACAAAGGCCACCUAUUUAAGUUGAGUUAACACAUGGUCAAUCAUCAAUAUGGUACUAAACCAUUUUCAUUAUAGCAUUAAUUAUAGGCCCUUGAAUUAAUCAUCAAAUAUAAAUAUGGGCUAAUGGCCCAUUAUAUUCAACAGAAUUCCGCGUGUACAUUUUAAUUCGUCUGGUGGGGGCAUUCUGUUUGAAGCAAAAAUAUUAAGGUUUGCUUGCUCCCGGUUCGGUGGCAAUGAUCGCCGGAAAAGGUAAAAGCGAAGGGCCGGCUUUACAGAAAAAUGCCUGCUAUCAGUCUGGGAUAAAAAGUGUCAGGCACGCUAAUGAUGGCUUUGUAAUGAUCACUGACGGUGCACUUCCAGUACGUAGUCGCGCUGUGUAAUACUCCUAUGAGCCUGUAAGGAGCACGCCAGAUGUAUAGCCAUGUAGGAAAUCAAAGAGAGUGAUCCUAUUUUUUUGUUUCUUUGGGAGAUGCCAACUCAGCUGCUUAACUAGUUGUCUGGAUCCAUUGAAAUAUCUCCAAGGAUCAUGCAUAUGGUUACACGCUCUACUCUCUCCAUCCCAAAAUAGAUGUCGCAAUGAGAUGCAAGCAAAUCAUUUUUUUGGCAACUUUGAUUAGGUUUCUAGAAAAUACAUACAACAUUUAUAUAUCUCUGAAUAAAUUUAUUAUGGAAAUAUAUUCAAUGAUCUAUCUAAUGAUACUAAUUAUAUAUUGUAAAUAUCAAUAUUUUUUUAGAUAUAUUUGGUUAAAAUUAAAAAUGUUUGACUUCUUCGGGAAUGAUAUCUAUUUGAGGAUGAAGGGAGUAUUGUCAUAGUAUGCAUGUCUGAGGACUUUCACUGAAACGUGAGAAAGACUUAUUACACAUGUACAGCAAGCGUGAAUCGUCCCAAAAUUAGUCCUAGGCAGACUUCUGGGAGAGUAUUAUUUUAACCUGUGGACUGGUUAGGUGGAGGCCAUCAUGCAUCUAGAAUAAAAAAAUGCCAUUUUUAUCCCACUGAUCUGUCUUGAAUUCUGAAAAGGUGUCACUCUGACUAGUGUGUGGAUCCUCCUGUAUGUGUCGAUGCUCCAAAAUACCAUGUCAAAUACUAGGAAAGAAAAAAAUAAAAGAUCGAUGUGACAAAUGAGAAAGAUUUUAAAUUUAGGUGUCAAUCAAAUAGAAAAACAUGCCAACAAGUAGGAAAUUUUCUUGUACCUAAACUAGCCACCUCAUCUAGGCGGGCCGUGUUUAGUUUGUGAAGGAAAAAAUUUCGUGAUACUGUAAUAUUUUUGUUUGUUUAUGAUAAUUAUUAUCCAAUUAUGGACUAACUAGGUUUAAAAGAUUCGUAUCGUAAAUUUCGACAAAUUGUACAAUUAGUUUUUAUUUUUGUCUAUAUUUAAUACUCUAUGUAUGCGUCUAAAGAUUCGAUGUGACGGAGAAAUUUUGAAAAAAAUUAGUUUUUUAGGUAGAAGUAAACAAGACCCUGGAAGCUUUUGCAUUGUAAUUUUGGGUAAAGUGACGACUAUUGAACUUCUCAUCACAUCAAAUCUUUAGACACAUGCAUGUAGCAUUAAAUAAAGAUAAAAAAUAAAUUUAUCUGUAAAUCACGAGACGAAUCUUUUAAGCUUAGUUAAUCUAUGGUUGGACAAUGUUUAUCUAUCAAAUAAAAACGACAAGGCCUCACACGUACG
This 63526-nucleotide long non-coding RNA is filed under the name Sorghum bicolor (sorghum). Its description in RNAcentral is "long non-coding RNA (SBIC_LNC000058)". Lineage: Eukaryota; Viridiplantae; Streptophyta; Magnoliopsida; Poales; Poaceae. The record is from RNAcentral.